UUUUUUUUACUGUCUCAAUGGUUGUACUUCGGAUCAGAUGUAAGUUUUAGUUAAGUAUUUAUGUUAUGAAGUGUGAAAGUUUAUUAAAUUUUAGCUACGAAAGCACUGUUCCGAAGUUCCUUACUUUUGGUCAUGUUGUGUAUUUGUUUCAACUUGGUGGACAGACCCUUGCUAUGUACAAAAUAAACUAAAAGUUUCCAUGAAAGAUAGAUAUUUGUGUCUAUAAAUUGUUGUGAACAAAACAAUUUGCUAAAAAGCCUCAAGUAAUGCAACAAAUUUCAUCAUAACUAUUUAUUACUCUAUUGCUUGGACCAUAGUCUACAUAGUCGCGGCUGAUCGAUGGGCACGGCGUGUCUCCGCGCGGGCUAAGCUAGUAUAUAUAAAGAAGGAAUGAAAUGGUGUAAAGACUGAGGGCCACGUCAUCAUUAAAAUCAGGCCCCGCUAUCAGUUUUCAUGUCAAAAUGUGGUCAAUCGUUGUUUUAGUGUUUUUAGCAAAUGGAUUUUAACACAGUACACUUACAUACACUCAUCACCAAUAUGAACGCACACACGCACGUACACCCUAUCCCUAUGAUCAUCUUCGAGAUACUGAGACCACCGGCGGAGCUAUGUGGUGUGCUGCAGAUGCCAUGCGCNNNNNNNNNNNNNNNNNNNNNNNNNNNNNNNNNNNNNNNNNNNNNNNNNNNNNNNNNNNNNNNNNNNNNNNNNNNNNNNNNNNNNNNNNNNNNNNNNNNNNNNNNNNNNNNNNNNNNNNNNNNNNNNNNNNNNNNNNNNNNNNNNNNNNNNNNNNNNNNNNNNNNNNNNNNNNNNNNNNNNNNNNNNNNNNNNNNNNNNNNNNNNNNNNNNNNNNNNNNNNNNNNNNNNNNNNNNNNNNNNNNNNNNNNNNNNNNNNNNNNNNNNNNNNNNNNNNNNNNNNNNNNNNNNNNNNNNNNNNNNNNNNNNNNNNNNNNNNNNNNNNNNNNNNNNNNNNNNNNNNNNNNNNNNNNNNNNNNNNNNNNNNNNNNNNNNNNNNNNNNUUUAGGAUGAUACAAAUUAAGAUAAAUACAAUAUUUGGCCCCUCCAUGCUAUUAUAUUUGGCUAUUUGCCCCCUCGGUAAUAUCUCGCUAGCUCCGCCACUGACUGAGACUUGAGUUAGGUGCGUAGCUCGUUCCCGGGGUAAUUAAGAUCCACAAUGGCUUAGGGAUUAUUCUCUCCGUUCCUUAACGUAAGUGUUUUUAGACAUUUCAAUAUGGACUAUAUACGAAGCAACAUGAGUGAAUCUACACUCUAAAAUACGUCUAUAUACAUUCCUAUGUUGUUCAUAUUGAAAUAUCUAAAAGGAGUUAUAUUAAGGAAAGGAGGGAGCACGAAAAGCUCUUGGUACUCCAUAUCUAGCGGGAUCUGGACACCCGUUUUAACUCCCACAUAUUCAUGAAGUUCCCGAGUGAACCUUUGGUUCUCGAAUACCAUUCCCUUUGCUUCAGGAAACAUUACAAAACUCGAAGAAAGAUUUUAUCGGCAUUGAUGGUGAAAAACUAGGCAGAUUCUUGCAUAGGGUUACUCAUGGUGCAGAGCGCACAUAGAGGAUCAUAAUAGGGUAUUGCGACUUCUAACCUGUGUUGGAAUUUUCCCUGAAGAGGAGGGGAGAUGAAGUAUAGUGGAGAUAAGUAUUUCCCUCAGUGAUAACUAAGGUUAUCAAACCAAUCAGAGAACCAAGCACACUCCCCCAAGGAGCACCUACACGAACAAAAGCAAAUACUUGCACCCAAUGUGGGCAAAAGGGGUGUCAAGCCCCAUGAACUCGUUACUUGCUAGGAUUAAUUCUAGUAGUGAUAGAUAGAUAAAUUUCAAAAUAAAAUAAAAGUAAAUAAAUUACAGCAAGGUAUUUUUCUGUUUUUAUAUAUGAUAAAGGUAGACCCGAGGGCCAUAGGUUUCACUAGAGGAUUCUCUCUCGAAGACAAAGCAUGCGGUGGGUAAACUACUCUUGGGCAAUUGAUAGUAAUGUGCAUAGUUAUGAUGUUAUUCAUGACAAUGAUCACACAUAUAGGCAUCACGUCCAUGACAAGUAGACCGAAUCCUGCCUGCAUCUACUACUAUUACUCCACCAAUCGACCGCUAUCCAGCAUGCAUCUAUGGUAUUAAGUUCAUGGCAAACAAAGUAACGCCUUAAGAAAGAUGACAUGAUGUAGACAAAGUAAACCCAAUAAAUAUGAAUAAAUCCCGUGAUUUUAACCUUAAUGGCAACAGUAGAAAUACGUGUCUUGGCCCCUUCUAUCACUGGGAUAUAGAGCACCGCAAGACCGAACCCAUUACAAAGUAUCUGUCCCACUGAAGACAAAUCAAUCUAGUUGGCCAAACCAAACAGAUACAUCAUAGAAAAAUACAAAGCUAUCAUAAUCAUGCAUAAUAAAGUUCAGAAAAGACUCAAUUACUUGCAACGAAUAAUCUGAUCAUAAACUCGUAAUUCAUGCUUUGUAGUGGGUUUAAUCUGGCGGUGCUCUAUAUCCUAGUGACAGAAGGGGACACGACAUAUGUUUGUAUUGUUGCCAUUAAGAGUCAAACGAUGGGGUUUAUUCAUAUUGAUUGGGUUUACUUUUCCUACAAUAUGUCAUCUUGCUUAAGGCGUUACUUUGUUUGUCAUGAACUUAAUACCAUAGAUGCAUCCUGGAUAGCAGUCGAUUGUGGAGUAAUAGUAGUAGAUGCAGGUAGGACUCGGUCUACUUGUCUCCGACUUAUAGACUUGACAUUAGGGUCAAUGGAGCCACGUGGACCCUACAAGGUAACAUGGCGCCCCAGGGGGGUUGGCCGCAGCCUGUUGCCUUGUCGGCAACUAGUGGCCCCCCUCUGGUGGAUCUUUGCUCCAAUAUUUUUUAUAUAUUCCACAAAAAUUUCGAAAAAGUUUCGCCCGAUUCUGAGAACUUUUAUUUUAGCACAAAUACAACACCAUGAUAGUUCUGCUGAAAGCAGCGUCAGUCGGGGUUAGUUUCAUUCAAAUCAUGCAAAUUAGAGUCUAAAUCAAGGGAAAAAGCGUCUGGAUAAGUAGAUAUGACGAAGACAUAUAAAUGAUCAUGUAUAUAGGCAUCAAAUACUAUCUUCCCGAGAAAAAAUAAGACAAGAAGUUUCAUCAUGUUUUACGAUACGAAGCCACCACCACGUCCUGAUCUUCAUCAAGAAGUUUGUUCUAGAGUCUGUUCGGGGCUCUAGAGAGGGGGAUUCGUCGCCAUCAUCAUCACCAACCCUUAUCCAUGACCAAUUCAUGAUGCUCAUCGCCGGAGUGAGUAAUUCCUUCAUAGGCUUGCUGGAAAGUGUUAGAGUUGGAUAUGAUUUAUCAGGGUUUUGGACGAAAACUCAUCUCUUACAAAGGGAUUUCAUUUUUUAAACAUAUUUUAACUCCAGACUUUUUGUGCGUUCAAUAUGAACCAUUCAAAGACACAUCAUCAAUUUUCAACCCUUUUCUGACUUCAUUUGCAAUUUUUAAUGCAUUUAAUAUUUUUUAGCUAAAUGACCCUAAAGUUGAAAAGCACUACAAAUGAACUCUGAAAAGGUUAAAACCUAGCAUGGUAUCAUCAUUUCACCCACAUAUCAUGUGCUAAAAAGUUGAGAGGGUUACAGCAAAAACUGGAUGCACUUCGGGUACAAACUGGAUAAUCUCUUUCGAAGUAUCAGGGUUUCGAACGAAAACUCAUCUCUUACAAAGGGAUUUCAUUUUUUUAAUAUUUUAACUACAGACUUUCUGUGCGUUCAAUCUGAACCAUUCAAAGACAUAUCAUCAAUUUUCAACCCUUUUCUUUUCUUUAUUUAUUUAGUUUAUACCAUUUCUUUUUUUCUCCUUUUUUGGCCCGGCCCCAUUGGCCAGGGCAUAGCCGGCCAUAGGGUGGGGGUUCUGCGCAUGCACGCACACACUAAGAAUGGCACGGCCGACGGCGAGCCACGACGGGGCUCGGUCGGAGAAGGGUGGUGCGGGCCGGAGAGGUCAGGGGGGUCGGGGCGCGGCCAGGGGCGACGAGUAGCGAGGCGGGGAUGCGCGUGGCUAGGCGGAGGCGAGGCCAGGGAGGGGCAGAGAGCGGCACAAUAGGUGGUGGGCGGCUGAGAAUAGGGGCGGCGGCAACAGCUUGAGCACGUCCAGGCCACGGCGGGCGGGCUCGCGAGCAUGGGACAGCAGGCACGUGGGUUCAGCGGCGAUUGAAGCCAGCAUCGCCAGUAGCAUGCAGCAAGCGACAGUGCAAGGCAUGGGCUACCAACGGCUAGCAGCGGCGCAGUGGCACGGUCGUGGGGCCGGCUCGGCAAAAGCGGGCUCGGCCGGCCGAAGGUGAGGCGCAGAUGCGGGUGCACAGGGGCAGGGACGGCCAUGGCCAUGGGUGUGGUCGGCAGUGGCGAUGGCGGGCGAGCAGUGGGGGCAGCGGGUCACGGCUGGAGAGGCGACACCACAUGCAGCAGGUACCAGCAGAAGCAGAAUCAGCACCGGCAGCGCAUAGUGACAACAGGGCGAGAAGCUGCAACAUUACGCAACAACAUAGGGAGCAGCGGCGGCGGCAACAGUGAUGGAUCCACAUGGGAGAGAGAGGGGAAGGAGACAGGGCCUCACAGCGGGUGCAUUGGUGUGGCGUGCUCGGGCCUCGGGGGGGUCAGGGGGGCCGCGGUGGUUGCGGAUCAAGCGACGGCCGAGGCGAUCUAGUUGGGGAUGAUGGAUCAAAACGACGCCUCGGCGAUGACCUGCGGCAAAUGACUAGGCAUAGAUGACGUAGAAGGCUUCGACGAUGCUGUUGGACAACCCGAGUGGCAUCCCCUCUUUCUUCUAACAACCAUCGGUAUUUUACUUGAAACUAUAUUUUUAUUCGUCACAUAUUAUGAAUUUUGCUUGGAGCGUCUUGUAUGAUAUGAGUCUUUGCUUGUUUUGCUUUUUGUUUUAAGUAAUGAAUCCUUGCUUGACACACUUAUUUGAGAAAGCCAAAAUUAUGCUAUGACUUGUUAGAACUGCUCUCUAUGCUUCACUUAAAUCUUUAUGAGCUAUGGAAUUGCUCUAGUGCUUCACUUAUUUCUUUUUGAGCUCGGUGUCCUUUAUUAUUUUUGAAGAAAUGCUCUCAUGCUUCACUUAGAUUUAUUUGAGAAUUAGUAAUUUUUUUAAGAAAUUCUCUCUUGUUUCACUUAAAUUAUUUUGAGAGAAGAAACUUUUAUGCUCAUGUUCUUCACUCAGAUUUGUUUGAGCUAUCAAAAGCAACAUAUGAAAUUAGUCCCAAAGUAACAGAUAUCCAAGAGGGAUAUAAUAAAAACUUCCAUGAAGAUCAUUGGACAAAAUAAACGUGAUUCUUUGUAAUAGUUUUGAGAUAUGAUGAUAGUGAUAUGUGAGUCAUGUUGAUGAGUAAUUAUGCUUUAGUAAGAAUAUUUGUGUUAAGGUUUGUGAUUCCCUAUGCAAGAACGAAAGUCAAUAGUUAUGCAAUGAAAUUAAAUCCUACUUGUGGUGCAUUAUUCGGUGUUAGUCGCACCACCUCUUUGAUCUAUAAAUACCCCAAUAUUCUUGAAACCCUAGGGGAGUCGACAAAAAUCAAUUCUAGUCGCGACAAGUUCCAGAACCACCAGAUCCAAUCUAGACACCAUCACGGAGGGGUUCAUCAUCCUCAUUGGUGCCUCUCCGAUGAUGCGUGAGUAGUUCAUUGUAGACCUUCGGGUUCGUAGUUAGUAGCUAGAUGAUUUCCUCUCUCUCUCUCUCUUGAUUCUCAAUACAAUGGUCUCUUGGAGAUCUAUUUGAUGUAACUCUUUUUCUGGUGUUUUUUUGGGAUCCGAUGAACUUUGAGUUUAUGAUCAGAUCUAUAUUUUUAUCCAUGAAAGUUAUUUGAGUCUUUUGAUCUCUUAUAUGCAUGAUAACUUAUAGCCUCACAUUUCUUCUUCGAAUAUUUGGUUUAGUUAGGCCAACUAGAUCGAUUUUUCUUUCAAUGGGAAGAGGUGUGUUGUGAUGGGUUCGACCUUAUAGUGCUUGAUCCCAGUGACAGAAGGAGAACCGACACGUAUGUAUCGUUGCUAUUAAGGACAACAAGAUGGGGUCUAUUUCUACAUAAAUAGAUCUUGUCUACAUCAUGUCAUCGUUCUUAUUCAUUACUCCAUUUCUUCAUGAACUUAAUACACUAGAUGCAUGCUGGAUAGUGAUCGAUGUGUGGAGUAGUAGUAGUAGAUGCAGGCAGGAGUCGGUCUACUAAUCUUAUACGUGAUGCCUAUAUAACACUAGUGCAGAACCGGGCUAUAGCACCGGUUCGUAAGGGCUUUUAGUGCCAGUUGUGCAACCGGCACUAAAGGGUGGGGACUAAAGUUCCCUCCCCCCCCUUUAGUACCGGUUUUAGUCCCCACCCUUUAGUGCCGGUUCAUCACAAACGGCCACUAAAGUGCCACCACGUGGCACGAGCCAGGGCCGGGUGCGGGGAGACCUAUAGUACCGGUUGGUAACACCAACCGGUACUANNNNNNNNNNNNNNNNNNNNNNNNNNNNNNNNNNNNNNNNNNNNNNNNNNNNNNNNNNNNNNNNNNNNNNNNNNNNNNNNNNNNNNNNNNNNNNNNNNNNNNNNNNNNNNNNNNNNNNNNNNNNNNNNNNNNNNNNNNNNNNNNNNNNNNNNNNNNNNNNNNNNNNNNNNNNNNNNNNNNNNNNNNNNNNNNNNNNNNNNNNNNNNNNNNNNNNNNNNNNNUUUAAAUUUUUCCUUUAGUUUUGUGUUUUCAAUUUAAUUUAGAGAUUGUUUUUACAUUAUAAUGAGUUGUUAAAUCAUUAGGUGAAAGUACCCGCAGAUUAGUUUCAACUGGAUGCAUGCAUGGAUCCUAGCUAAGUGAUCAAAGUAUAUAUGCCAUAUCCAUAUAUAUUACUUGAUCACUUAUAUUAGGUGAGCAUGUAAUUAAUAUGGAUAUGGCAUAUACUUGAUCACUUAGCUAGCUAGGAUUCAUCCAGUUGAAACUAAUCUGCGGUUUCUUUCAUAAAUGAUAUAAUAACUUAUUAUCAUCAUAUUAAUAUAAAAACUAUUACAUCAUAUAUAUCAUCACCAACAAGUUAACGGUAUACUAGCUAGCUAAAAAUCAUUAUAGUCGUCAUUACCACUAUUUAAUCAUCAUAGUCAUUACCGCUAUCUAAUCACCACCAAUACCAGCUUAAAGAAGAAACAUUCACUUUGUACCAGAAGGAAAGAUAUCAUCGAGUUCAACAUGAUCACUCUUUGAGAUUAAGUUCAGGACAAAGAACACGAACAUGAGAGGACAAGUACUAAGAGCAUGCUAAUCACUCCUGCUGCUCUCUCUCUCUCUCAGGUAAAAUGGCAUAGAACAUGUGUAGCUCUCCUGAUUCAUCAUAUUGGAGCAUGCAGAUGAACCUGUCUCCUAAUCGUGGGUUGCGCUUCUGCUUGUUGACUCCUAGUACUUCUCUGCGAUCAUUCACAAUUUUGCUCCAGUCUUUCACUAUUAAGCAUUCCUCGGUUCUAGAAAUCCUGAAUGCACUCGUGUGCAAUGUAGGAUGUCUUGGCUGUAAGCUAACAAUUGGCAUGCGACCGUUAGUCAAGAUCCACUGAGGCACAACUAUCAUUGGGAGACCCUGUUGAAGAGAACAUCGUAUAGUAUCAUACUUAGCAACAUGAAGUUUAAUUAGAUUAAAAAAUAAUGUAUGCAAAAGAUGCACUGAGGACAAAUUGUAAAAAUCUUACCAUCUUUCCUAAAUACAUGUGACCGUAGUUCGAUACAAACACUAUUGGUCGCACGUUUUGAGUACUAAGAUUUGCAAGUCUAGGAAAAUAAUUUCUCUUGACAGCAUCAAGAUCCUCAAGCCAUGAUUGACUUAUUUUCUCGCAGUUUAGUUUAGCCCUAGGACAGUGGACGGCCCUGGCUACCAAGCGCUGGAAAUGUUUGCUUGAAUGGAAAUAAGCUAUCAAUAGAAAUUAGUUGUCAACUGUUUUUGAAAAAACAAUAUCAACAUAAAUAUGGCAUGAGAAACUCACAUAAUGGUAGAACUAGAGGCGCGUGUUUNNNNNNNNNNNNNNNNNNNNNNNNNNNNNNNNNNNNNNNNNNNNNNNNNNNNNNNNNNNNNNNNNNNNNNNNNNNNNNNNNNNNNNNNNNNNNNNNNNNNNNNNNNNNNNNNNNNNNNNNNNNNNNNNNNNNNNNNNNNNNNNNNNNNNNNNNNNNNNNNNNNNNNNNNNNNNNNNNNNNNNNNNNNNNNNNNNNNNNNNNNNNNNNNNNNNNNNNNNNNNNNNNNNNNNNNNNNNNNNNNNNNNNNNNNNNNNNNNNNNNNNNNNNNNNNNNNNNNNNNNNNNNNNNNNNNNNNNNNNNNNNNNNNNNNNNNNNNNNNNNNNNNNNNNNNNNNNNNNNNNNNNNNNNNNNNNNNNNNNNNNNNNNNNNNNNNNNNNNNNNNNNNNNNNNNNNNNNNNNNNNNNNNNNNNNNNNNNNNNNNNNNNNNNNNNNNNNNNNNNNNNNNNNNNNNNNNNNNNNNNNNNNNNNNNNNNNNNNNNNNNNNNNNNNNNNNNNNNNNNNNNNNNNNNNNNNNNNNNNNNNNNNNNNNNNNNNNNNNNNNNNNNNNNNNNNNNNNNNNNNNNNNNNNNNNNNNNNNNNNNNNNNNNNNNNNNNNNNNNNNNNNNNNNNNNNNNNNNNNNNNNNNNNNNNNNNNNNNNNNNNNNNNNNNNNNNNNNNNNNNNNCGGAGGCGCGUAGCGACGACGGCGUCGGGGGCGGCGCACGGACGGGGGCGGCGACGACGGCGACGGGGGCGGUGACGGGGGCGGCGCGUGUGGGGACGGGGCGCGACGAAGAUGGAUGAUAACUGAAAAUUUCCGUAAGUGCUGGUUAUAUAUGGGAGGCCUUUAGUACCGGUUGGAGACAGGAACCGGUACUAAAGGUUAAGUUUUGCCAGGCGAAGCGGCGGGAAGCGACCCCCUUUAGUACUGGUUCGUGGCACAACCCGGUACUAAAGACCCACCCUUUAGUACCGGUUUGAGCCAUGAACCGGUACUAAAGGAGGUGCGCUCCCGUUCCGCGCUGCUCAUUGUUUAGUCCCACCUCGCCGAGCGAAGGACAGCCGCACUGGUUUAUAAACCCAGCUGUGGUUGCUCCCUCGAGCUCCUAUAUAAUGCAGGCCUGUGGGCCUAACUUUGCCGCGCUGCCCUGUGAGCCUGUUGGGCCUUAUGGGCCUGCAUAUGCACGUCCAAGGACGAGAAAGCCCACUGGGCAGUGCGGAAAUAAUUUUUUUCAUAUAAGUUUUUUCUUUUGUGGUUUAUAUAUUUUCUUCUAUUUAUUUGUGAAUAGUUUUUUGCUGUAUUUAGAGUUUAUUAUAUUUAAUAUUAGUGUGUUUUAUCAUUAUAUUCAUAUUUGUAGUGAUUUUUCAGUUCAUUUUGUACUGCUUUUCACUUUCACGGUGAUUUAGCUCUGAAAACAAAUUAGUAAAUGUAUCGGAAAUAGCAAAUUAUGUCAGAAAGGGUUGAAAGUUGAUGACGUGAAUUUGAAUUGUGCAUCUGAACGCAAAAAAGUCUGGAGUUGUACUAAGUUAUUAAAAUAUUGAAUAGCCGGUGUAAUAGAUGAGUUUUCGUCUGAAACCCUGAUACUUCCUAAGAGAUUGUCCAGUUUGUACACGAACUGCAUCUAGUUUUUGCCGUAACCCUCUCUACUUUUUUGCACAUGCUAUGCGGGUGAAAUGAUAAUACCUUGCCAAGUUUCAACCUUUUAGAGUUCAUUUUGUAGUGCUUUUCACUUUCACGGUGAUUUAGCUCUGAAAACAAAUCAGUAAAAACAUCGAAAAUAGCAAAUUAUGUCAAAAAGGGUUUAAAGUUGAUGAUAUGGAUUUGAAUUAUGCAUAUGAACGCAAAAAAAGUCUGGAGUUGUACUAAGUUAUUAAAAUAUUGAAUAGCCGGUGUAACAGAUGUGUUUUCGUCCGAAACCCUGAUACUUCAUAAGAGAUUGUCCAGAUUGUACACGAAGUGCAUCCAGUUUUUGUUGUAACCCUCUCUACUUUUUUGCACAUGCUAUGUGUGGUUCUCUUGCUGGUUCGAUAACCUUGGUCUCAUCACUGAGGGAAAUACCUACCGUCGCUAUUUUGCAUCAUCCCUUUCUCUUUGGGGAAAUACUGACGUAGUUCAAGCUGACAUCAUCCACCUGCCGACAUUCUCCCUCUUCAUGUAAAUCUUGUAAAACAAGAGAGAAAAGGCAUAAGUAGUGUGCCAUAAUGUGUACCAUGAUGCAAUAAAUAUCAACAUAAAAGCAUGAUGCAGAAUGGACGUAUCAGCUCCCCUAAGCUUACACCUUGCUUGUCCUCAAGCAAAAAUCGAAAUCGAGAAAUAUGUCCACAUGUUUAGAGAUAGAGGUGUCGAUAAGAACAAAAUACAGACAUGAGGGCAUCAUGAUCAUCUUUAGAACAACAACAUAUGUUGUCAUAUAAUUUCUUAUGCCAAAGUAACAUUUCAUUCACAAGGUAAAGUACGAAUCAAAAACUUCAUUGAAAACUAACAAACCAUGAUCUCAGUCAUUGGAGCAAUUGCAAUUUAUCAUAACAUCAGAAAGAGUCAAUAUAAGAGCUUUUCAGCAAGUCCACAUACUCAAAUAUCAUUUAGCCUUUCACAAUUGCUAACACUCACGUGAUACUUAUGGGUUCAAAGUUUCAGUCGGACACAGAGAAAGAUAGGGGCUUAAAGUUUUGCCUCCCAAUCUUUUACCUGAAGGGUAAUGUCAACAAUAAUGUUUUAUGAUAACCUAUAUCCAAGUGGGUAUAUAUAUCUGGAUCUCUCCACCACAUAGUGGUUGCCAAAAAGAAAAAGUGUAAAAAAGAACGGUGAAGAUCACCAUGACUCUUGUAUAAGGGUAGAGGAUAAAAGCACAAGAUAGGCCCUUCGCAUAGGGAAGCAGAGGUUGUCAUGCGCUUUUAUGCUUGGAUGCACAAAAUCUUAAUAUAAAAGAACGUCACUUUAUAUUGUCGCUUGUGAUAAACAACUUUAAUAUGCAGUCCGUCGCUUUUAAUGUAGUAGAAAAUAUUCUGAACCCUGGCCGGCAGUAGCAGAACCGAGCCAUUUACUUGCACAUCUCCCUCCUUGUCAGGAACAACGAGACUGCAUCUUUUGAAGAAAUCGACACAUUCUGUUGUUAACUGAAGAAAUCGACACCUGUCAUGCUGUUAACUAAAGAAAUUGACACCCAGCACGCAGUCGAUUGGCGGGCUCAACGUCGACCGUCUGAUCUUAAUUACCUUUAUUUACUGCCUCCUUGUUCAGCUGCUUUGCUUUAUUAGUGUUAAAGUUAAGAUUACCUUUCACUGGUUGUAAUGGGUAUAAAACCAACCCCGGAUCUAUCUUAGAGGUAAAUGCUGCGUGCCCUUAAUCCGCUAUAUAUUUCUCUUGCGGUCAUCCUCUGAAUUUCACCUAGGUGCUUGGUGGUUUAAUGUGUGAGUGGUUUAGUUUUCCGAACUCCCUCCGUUCCAAAAUAUAUGACCCAACGGGAAUACGUAGUUGGGUCUUCUCACUCCUUUGCUGCUGCUUAAUUUGCCCGACAGACGUCAACAUGGAACGGAGGGUACGUAGCUGCUCAUCUCAGCUGUUGGUGAAAUAGAUGGUCAGCUUGUGUUCUUCUCAGCACAAGAAAGAAUGCUGCUCAUCUCAGCUGGCUUGCUUCAUGCCCUAGCCUUGCAACUUCAAAUAUAUUCAUGCAUUUGCAAAAAACCACAUACCUCUAUCAAUAUUGCAACUUCAAAUAUAUUUAUGUCUUUCUAGAUUGUCCACUGGCUAAGAUUCUUUGGCGUUCGAUUCAUAUUGCUUUUAAUAUUACUUCACCUACCUCUAUCAAUAUGUUAUUUGGAACAUGGCUUGAUGGGGUGAACUUGGAUGUAGCAAGACACAUUCGUGUUGGCGUGUGUGCCUUGUUAUGGGCAGUAUGGAACUGCAGAAAUGAUUUGGUUUUUAACAGAGCAACGAACUUUCAUUUUUUGCAGGUUAUCUUCAGGGCCACAGCAUUGAUCCGUAUGUGGUCGCUACUCACUCCCACGGAGGCCAGGGGGCGUUUGGCUACUGCGUCUACCCGAUGGGAGAUGGUAGCUCGGGUUAUUUUCAACCGGUUUGGAUGGCGGUCAUGUAAUAGGAUAGGCAUGUAGUGCUUCUAUUUUAUUUGCCAGCCGGUUGUGGCUUCAUGAUUAGGCUCGUUUGAGCAGCUUGUUUUCUUUUCGACCUUUCAGAUAUUGGAGACUUUGUGACUCAUUUUGUUUUUUAAUAAUAUGAGCCGUAUGCAUCUUUCUGAUGCAGAGGCUAGGGUAAUACCCCUUUUCUAAAUUUCUUUUUUGCAAAAAACCACGAAUUGGGAAAUUCAAAAAACGUUUCACGAUCUUGGAUUUUUUUUGCUGAUUUGAAAAAAAAAUCGUCGAUUUGAAAAAAGUUCAUGGAUUUUGAUUAUUAUUUUGGAAAUUUAAAAACAUUUCAUCAUUUUUUAAAAAAUAUUUCACGUAUUUGGAAAAAGAUUCAACAAAUCUAUAACAAAAUCAUGAGUUUUAAAAAAAUUCCAGGAAUUUUAAAUAAGAACCAUAAAUUUGGAAAUAUUUUGUGGAUUUGAAUAUAUUCAAUCUUUUCAAGAAAAAACGUGGAUUAAAAAUUUUCACGUGUUUUGAAGGAAACAGUUCAUGAGUUAAAAAAAGUUCAUCAAUUUUAAAAAAGUUCUUGAGUUGUAGAAAAGUUCUGAAUUUUUUAAAAAGGUUUGAAAGUUGGGAAAAUGUGGAUUUGAAUAUAUUCAUAUUUUGAAAAUAAUACUGGCGAAUUCAAAAAAAGUCACGUGUUUUAAAAGAAACAAUUCUUGGAUUUGCAAAAGUUUCCGAAUUUCAAAAAUGUAAAAGAAGGGAGAAGCUACAUUUCCAAACAAAAAACUGGCGAUAAAAAGAAGAAAAUAAUUAAAAAUGAAAAGGGAAAAACGUAAAAAAAAAGGAGAAGGUAAACCAAAUAAAACCGUAAAAACCAAACUAGAAAACUAACAAUAAACUGGUGGAAGCUUCCCAAAAUCAGGAGCUUUCCGCUCAUGCUUGCGAUCAUGGAACGGCCAUUCAAAACAUAAGUACUGAGGGGGGUGCGCUUUUUACCAAUUGCACUUUAACUUUUUUUGAGACACAAUUGCACUAACUGAGCGGCAAAUAGGAUAUGUGAUCUUCAUGUGCCACAAGCCCACAACACAACGUCACAGCCCACAGGCCUGCAGAAAACCUGAGCGGCAAAUAGGAUAUGUGAUCUUCAUGAUCCCGUAAUUUCCUGAUGUAGUUUGGCCUUUUGUUACAAAUGUUAUAUUUAAUAAAAUAUAUUUAAAUACUAUUCGGAGAUUUAAAAAUUUCAUGAAUUUUAAAAUAACAUUCAUUCACAAUAAACCAAUUCAAAAAUAUUUUCUGACUAAACAAAUGUUCAAGAAUAAAAAAAUCACAAAUAUUCAAAAUACUUUAGAAUUUAUAAAUUACUGUGAAUUUUAAAAAAUACUCAUCAAUUUUAAAAAAUGUUUAUGAACUAAAAAUGUGAUAAAAUUUUAUGUAUUUUGCAAAAUACUCGCAAAUUUGAAAAAUGUAACUUAAACUUAAUAAAUGUUGCAAAUUUGAAAAAAACACACAGGAUCUUUGUCUAUAUCUAAUCAUGUGUGGGCAUGGACUUAGUUAGAUCUAUUUUCUUUCUCGAAUACGCAAAAUGUUUGCGCAUCAUUGCAUCAAUAGAAGCAGGGGUUUUUGGAAAUUCUCAUACACAAACCAUGUGCACAACAGAGUGGCCAUUACAGCCUCUCAGGGUUUUUUUUCACCCGCAAAAAAAAGGGUACAUAGGCGUCGAGCCUGGGUGCGCCAGUGGGAAAACAAUGAUUACAGUGUGGUCUAUAAUUUUAGUGACGAUUUAACAGCUUCCCUGUAACGGCUUUAUGUGAGGAAACAGUCUAUGUGAAGAUGUGGGCCUAAGCUACUCUAGGAAUUGUAUAGUUGAAUGCUACUUUUAGUCCUACACCGUGCAUUAUGAGCAACACUAUGUGCAUGCACGAAUAAUUGUUGCCAAGUUAUUCGCGCUAUCUGCCCUGCCGGAUGACACUUUGGACAUGCAUGCUACUCCCUCCGUAAACUAAUAUAAGAGCGUUUAGAAUAUUAAAGUAGUGAUCUAGACGCUUUUAUAUUAGUUUACAGAGGGAGUACAUUGGACUAGCUCAUUGAAGUGACUGUUGGCCGCUGGCUCCUCUGAAGGUUUUCCAUGCUAAUCAGAUACCUUGACAGAAAAAACAUCUGUCAUCCCCCACGGCAACUCGUGCCACAUCACUCCAACAAAACAUGUUGCUCGCUCUCUGGCUAGAUCACCACCUGCAACUCAGGUCAUAUGUAGGCGCUCUCUUCAUAGCCCUUGGAAUGGCAGUGCGAGCGACCAAAGCAAAUCCAAUUGCGGCUCAUCGCGUGUAAAUGUCACGGCUUUUCUCUACCGUCUUUACCCGUUUUUCGUUUUUUUUGUUUUGUUUGGUUUUUCUUUUCGUUUUUGAUUUUAUUUUAUUAUAAAAAUUCCCCUAGUAUUAAAGAAAAACCUUCACCUUUGUCUAAAAAUGUUCACCAAACUUUUUAAAAAAACUUUUUGAUUUCUUAAAAAUGAUCAUGUUGGGGGCCGGUCGUACAGCCCAUGUACCACAUCGGCCCUGCGGCAGCACGGGAGGGAGUAGCCCACCGCCACCAUGGAUCCGACCCACCGUUCCUCCUCCUUUCCUCUGCUCUGCAGCUCUGCCGCCGACGAGUUCAACUCCAACAGGCAACAGCAGACGGCGACGGCGAGGAGGCACCGAGCGGCGGGCGAGGACGAAGCCUCCUCUGGGAGCUUCCUCGAUCCUCUCCUCUGGAGUCUGGAAGCAAGCGUCCCCUGGUCACUCCUCGUCCGCCUGCCCACCAGGUGCUUGUGUUUAUUCCCAUGAGGUUCGUUCCACUGCGACCUAUCUACCUCCACUACCUGUAUACUAUAGUGACCGCCCAACAACUCAGUAGCCGUCCCGUCUCCUUCCGCCCGUCCUUCUAGGUGCAUCCAUGGAAACUAGUACCAAGUAAUGGUCAAUUGGUCAUGCAUGUAGCUAUCGACGACAAGUCAGGAAAGAUAUCAGCCAUAUAUAUGUUCGUCUGCGGCCCUCCCGUUGCUGUCUGUUGGCGACAAUUACUCUUGUCAUACCUUCAAUUCCUGCAAUGCUUAUCUUCAAUCAGCCAUAUAUAGGGUUCCUAAGGUUUCACAGAUAGAGAUACAAGUAAUUGCCAUUAUAGAUAAAUGCGUGCAAAUCACGCGUUCAGACAAGUCUACGAAAAUUAUUUUGCCUAGUCCUACAUGUAGCUAUCAAUACAAGCCAAGAAAUUCAUAAUGGCAUACAUCUAGCUGCCCAGAAAGAUAUCUGCAGGCCGGGUACGUCCAGCCAUACAUCUACGACCCGUUGCUGUGGGAGACAAUUCUUGCUUAUCUUCAAUCAGCCAUAGGAUAGGAUUCAUUCACAUUCCACUCUGAAAAACCAAGUGAGCUGCAUGUGUGGUAAGCUAAGUCAAGUCAAGCAAACUAUCCUCAUCCCCUUACACAGCAGCCACUGGUUACAUAUCUCCCUAUCUCUCCUCUCCUCUCGUGUAUAUGUAAGGUAAGGUGUUCCUCAAGACCUCCUGCAACGACUCAACCCCCCUUUUGCACUAGCCAGGCGGCAUCCAUCACCGGCACCUCGUGCGUGAGUGCGUGCCAACGUAAGUAAGUAGUGCACACUCUUCUCCUUUAACUUGCAGCCAGGAUUGAUCACUUUUGAAUUUUGAUUGGUGACGGAAAAUCUAUGAAUUAAUGACUUCCCUUCGGUUCCUGGAUCGAUGCAGGUGCAGCAAGUCCGUCAAUUAGAGGAUGUCAGACGCGGCCCUCAGUGCGGCGCAAUGGGUGGUGGGCAAGGCGCUAGCCCCCGUCACGGAUGGUCUGCUAGAGGCUUGGGCAGGUAGCAGGAACCUUGGUCUCAACAUUGAGGCCCUCAGUACGGAACUGCUGCUAGUGAAAGCCAUGCUCGAACAAGCUGCUCUCAAGGAGCUCGGUGGCCCAGCCAUGGAGAUACUGCUGCAGAAGCUGCGGGAUUCAGCACACAAUGCCGAAGACUUGCUGGAUGAGCUGGACUACUUCCGCAUCCACGAUGAGCUCCAUGGCACGUACAAUGCUGCUGAACAGCAAGGCAAGAGUGGUGUCCACAACCUUGUCGUCAAUGCUCAUCACAUCGCCAAAGCUCUUGGCAAACAACUAGCAUCUUUGUCUGCGUACUGGUUUGGUGCCAAUGCUGGUGAUCACCGACAACAAGAUGCAAGACAACAUGUUAAUUAUUGUGCUUCACAGCAUGGUAAGAAGAGGUUACGUGGUGAUUUCUCAUCAGCGCCAAAGGCCAAUCAGGCUGAUGAGGAGGCCAGCAGGCGCAUGCCCAAGCUCGGUAAAUUCCUCCAUGGCUCAUCUUCCCCACACCCCCAUGUUCACGAUGACAAUUGCAGCAAUGCACAAGAAACACCAAAGCUUGAGUUUAAUAGGGUGAAUUUCUCUCAAAGGGUGAAGGGCAUUGUAGAGAAACUGCAACUUAUGCGUAAUGAGGUUAGCAAAAUUCUGCAAUGUUGUAGCCCUAGAACUGUCCCAAACAUUGCCUUGAGUCGUCCCAUCACCAAAGGUCGAAUUGAUGAGCCAAAACUGUAUGGGAGGGAUUGGGUCAUGAAUAGCAUCAUACAUGAUAUCACCAAGGGUCAAUAUUGUGACAAGGGUCUAACUGUGCUUUCGGUUGUUGGUCCCGGGGGGAUGGGGAAGACAACUCUGAUACAACACAUAUAUCGCAACCAACAAGUGAAGAAUUAUUUUCCAGUCAUGAUUUGGAUUUGUGUGUCGCUCAAUUUCAGUCUGGAUAAGGUGCUAGAACAAAUUAAAACAUGUACCCCUGCAGUUGAAAAUGAAAAGGAGGGCAGUACAACUGAAGAGUUGAUUGAAGAAAGAUUGAAAUCUAAAAGGUUCUUACUUGUAUUGGAUGAUAUAUGGCAGAUUAGUAAUGGGGAUGACUGGGAAAAUCUACUGUCGAUACUCAAUCAAUCACAAGAAAAGGGUUGCACAAUUCUAGUCACAACUCGGUUUCAAGCAAUAGCACAGAAGGUUAAAACAGGUCAUUCAAUACAAUUGAACGGUUUAGAAUCUGAAGAGUUUAGAAAGUUAUUUUUUGCAUUUGUCUUUGGCGAUGAGCAGUGUGCAAGGGAUAAACAUUUUCUGCUUGAGACUGGAGAUAAGAUAAUCCAAAAACUAAAGGGAUCCCCUCUUGCAGCAAAAACUGUUGGUAGAGUACUCAGUAAAGAACUUAGUUUGCAUCAUUGGAAAAGGGUGCUAAAAAGUAAAGAAUGGGAGACCGAUAACAAUGGAAUUAUGCCUGCCUUAAGGCUUAGCUAUGACUUUCUCCCUUUCCAUCUGCAACAAUGUUUCGCCUAUUCUGCAUUGUUUCCUGAAGAUUAUUGUGUCACAAGCCACCAGCUCAUUGGCCUAUGGACAGGACUAGAUAUUUUGAUACCUGGUGGUCAAAACCAAACAUUGGAAGAUAUAGGUUUGAGCAAUUUAAAUGAGUUAGUAAUCCAUGGAUUUUUCAGAGAAGAGGAAACUUAUGCAGGUCUGCGGUACGUUAUGCAUGACCUACUGCAUGAUUUGGCAUUGAAGGUUGCAUCGCAUGAUUGUCUUAGUUUACGUCUCCCUAAUGUUGAGUCAGUAGAAGUUCAGCCAUCGACCCAUCACUUAUCUAUAAGCAUAGAGGACUUAGGUGAAUAUGAUGCAGUGUCUGGCCAAAAAUUAAAGAGUGAACUGAAAGAACUGAAAACAAGAUUGAAGGUUGAACAUUUGCAAAGUUUGAUGUUAUUUGGAAAAAUAGAUAAAAGUUUUGCCAAGGUAUUUGGUGAUUUUUUUGGGGAAGCAAAUUCUCUUCGUGUUCUUUAUUUGCCCAACAUGAUGUAUCCAGUGGAAUGCAUGUUGCAUAACUUCUCACGACUUGUCCACCUACGAUUCCUGUGUCUAGGGACAUGGGACAGACAGAUACAUUUACCACCUAACAUGUCUAAACUUUACCACUUAAGGGUUCUAGAUCUUGAGUCAUGGUAUGGUAGUCAUGAUUUGCCUGAAGACAUGAGCAACCUUGCCAAAUUGUGCCAUUUUUAUACUCCAAUUGAUUGUUUUAAAACCGGUCCUUUGUAUACCACAAUAGAUGAGCAAUGUUAUGAUAUUUAUAAUGUGGGAAAACUUAUACACUUAGAAGAGUUAGAGGUAUUUCAAGUCAACAAAAAGAGUGAAGGAUUUGAACCAAAGCAACUAGAGACUUUGACCAAGCUAAGGGAGCUUGGAAUGUAUAACCUUCACAAAAUACAUACAAAAGAAGAAGCGGCUCAAGUAAAACUGAUAGAGAAAAACUACCUGAGAAGGUUAACAUUGGAUUGGGAUAGUAAGCGAUCUAAUGUUGACCCUAGUUUGGAAGCAUUGGUUCUUGAGAGACUUCAACCACAUGGAGAUCUUCAAGUAUUGUGCAUUAGAGGGCAUGGAGGCCCUUCUUGUCCAACAUGGCUGGGUGAUGAGUUCGCUAUUGAAGCUAUACAGUCUCUUUAUCUUUCUGGUGUUUCUUGGGAGGUUUUCCCUUCUCUAGGGAAGGCGUGGGAUCUUCGUGAAUUAAGGUUGGAGCAUAUUGGCACACCAAAGGAGUUUAUCAUAGAAAAAAGCUUUUGCAUGCUAAUAAAGCUUGAACUCAUUGGCCUAGAGAGUUUUGAAAAAUGGGUUUGUCCAGCUGAACAAGAGUCUGCCUUGGGUAGAGACCUGUCGCCACCACAUGCUCAUAUGUUCCCUCUUUUGCAAAUGCUAUUUAUUAUGAAUUGCCCGAAAUUCUUGUGGUUGCCUUCUUCAAACCAUAUUGUUUUCCCAGAUUGGUUUCCCAAACUACAAGAGUUUGUAAUUGUGAACUGCCCAAAAUUCCUGUCAGUGACUCCCAUCUCCUGGAUUGAAAGGUUGUGCCAUUUCCAUUUAUCAGAUGUGAAGCUACUACAUUUGUUUAAAUACUCAAAAUCAUCUGAUGGGGUAGAAUUGACGAUUAAUGGAGAGGGUGAUCUACAUAGUUUAGACCAAGUGUUAGUUCUGGAUAAAGAAGCAGGUGUUGAGAAGCUGACACUCGGUAGGUGCCCACCUCUUGAGUUGAAGCACCUUCUGAUGCUAACCUCGCUGAAGACAUUGAUUGUAUUUAGUUCAGAUGCCCUGGUUGGACCACUAGGAGGUCAAGGUGAUUUCGAAUGGCAACUCCCCGUUGAGAAUAUCAGGAUGAAUGACUUAAAUGGUACUAGUGGGAAGGAAUUGAUAAAGCUCCUCCCCCACCUCCCAAGGCUCUCCAAAUUGGAAAUAGAAUACAUAGAAAACAUAGUGGGGGUGGAUCUACAACAAACAACAUCAGCUAUUUCGUUUUUCCGUCAACUUUUUCCUUCCUCCUUGCAAUUCCUGGGGCUUAGGAGUGUGGAAGGCAUGGGGACACUUGAGCCCCUCUCAAGCCUCUCCUCUCUUACCAUAUUAGAAUUGAAUUAUUGCGGGCAUGAUCUGAAAUGUCAGGGCUUGCGGUCUCUCCUUACAUCUGGGGGCCAGCUCAACAAAUUAAAAGUCUUUGGCAGCCCUAGAUUCUUUGUUGGUUGGGAUCCCAAUCCCAGACGGGCGUUGGAGGAUGUUGAAGGAGAAGAGCAGCAAACACAGCUUGUUUCAUCCACACUGCGGGAGCUCUGCACGGAUGAUGCAGCGGGACUCCUUGCUGCACCCAUCUGCAGCUUCCUCUCCUCCCUCUCCGAGUUGGGACUUCGUGGGAAUGGGUCCAAAGAGGUGGAGCGCUUCAGCAAGGAGCAAGAGGACGCCCUUCAACUCCUCUCCUCCCUCCAGGAACUAGAGUUUUGGAGUUUCCACAAUCUUCAGCAACUCCCUGCAAGGCUGCACAACCUUACCAGUCUCGAGAUACUAUCAAUCAGCGACUGUCCAGCUAUCUCAUCGUUGCCCAGUGAUGACCUGCCCAAAUCACUGCAAGAGCUAAAUGUUAGAUACUGCUCGGAGGAGCUAAAACAGCAGUGCAGAGGGUUAGUGGGAACCAUCCCAAGAAUCAUACAACACUGAUCCAAGGUAACACAAACAUACUUUCUUGUGUUUUCCACCUUGCCCUUUUGCUGCAAUCCUACUUAAUGACACUGUUGCGUUUGUUCCUAUCCACUGUGCAGGACUCUGCCUUGGAAUUCCCAUGUACAUUCUUCUAUCUUUCUAGAGCUCAACUCUUUACAUGCAUACACAUUUGCCACCGUGCAUGACCCAAGGGUCUUGUGGCCGUCGUCUUCCUUACUGUACAAAAAAUCUGGUGAGUAACAUAUAAACUGGAAAUUUACUCCUGUAGUGAAAUGUUCAAGAUUCAUUUUUCAAUGCCCCUGUCUUAUGUACAAGUCAAGAAAAGCAAUGUAAUUAUCAGCCAAUGUGUGCUGCAAGUCUCCUCUCUUUUCUUCCUAAAUUUUGUAACCAACGAAAUCUAUGAUCACCAUUUGUUUUGGUUCUCUGUGCAGGUGUUCGUUCAAUGUUAUGGCUUCUUUAUUUUUUGCAUGCAAAUUUGGGUUAUUGUCAUUCAUCAAGGCAUGGUAGUCUACUUGCCUAUUUUGGGUGUCACGGUCACAAUAUCACUGGCGUAAGUAGUGAAUAAAUGAAACAUUGGGGUCAAGCUACUGAUAUCAAGGUCUGACCAGUUUUUCAUACACUGCUACAUUGCUACCAAUUCUAGGUGUUCUCGCAUUCGUAAUUUCUGUUGACUUGCUGUUCAGCUACUUGUGUUUACAUUUGUCCAAAAUCCAUGAAGACUUGAUGGUGUACCUCGAAAGUUCAGUUGUAAGGAUCAAAAGAUCAUCAUGGCAUAAUUAUGGAGUGUUUUGCUACCGACAAGGUUUGCAGUUUCUCAAUCCAGUCUACAUUCUACUGAUACCAGGUAUCCUUAGCAUUUUGUCAUAACUGUUGUUGUUUACUGAAAUUUAAUGGCAUAUAGGGUCUUCACAAGAAUAGCCUGCAUAUAUACCAUAGCAGUGCAUGCACGGACUCAAUUCGGAUCAUAGAGAGUAGUAGUACAGCCUGAUGGUAUAUUGCAUAUUCGUCCUGAAACUGUGAGUUUGUGACUUUGUGCAAGUAUUACAGUGGGCCAAUCACAUCCACAUGGAGAGAUGAUGCUUUUUGUACUAACUAACAAGCAACUCCUCUGUGCAGGUCAUAAUGACAAACUAACAAGCAAGAUUAUCAUUUCCUUAAGCCCCAAAGGCCACAAGAUGCAGCUGACAACAUUUUAUUUCGAAAACUCAGCACUGCAAAGGUAACAAGGGAUUAUGCAUUUGUAUUCUGAGUAGAGGACGUUAUGUAUGUAUAAUCAGCUAAGGGAACGACUGGUCCAAUUUUGCAGGUGUGAGCAACUGCAGAAAGGUCUAGAUGCCACUGAACAGUCCAGGGCACCGAGAGAAACACGAUUUGUCCCAUACUCGCGGCGGUACACAAGGACUCCUACACACUUGCUCGAUGACUACAGCAAUGGGUGUACCUAAAACACCGGAGAAGGCUCAUUCAUGUGAGGUACAUAGGCUCCCCAGCGACUGGCAACUCUGCAAGAUGGCUACAUGUUCUUAUUAGGUUAACCGACCGACUUGUAAACGUUUCAGAAUCAGCUACCAUGCUCAUUGGAGCCAUGCUAAGGAAGAAGAAGCAGACACAUAGGCUAGGCUAGCAGAAGCGUAGUCUGCAGCUAGGAAUAUCUAAAGCCAGUCGCUCAGAAAUUGCUGUGAUGAGUACAUCCAGUGAGGCCUUAUUCACCUUCAUACCAUGGUUAGUAUUUUGGUCAUUCGGUAUUAGUAUAUGACAAGUUAUUUUGACCGUGGCUGACAGAACCGUGCCAAGUACUUACACAUCCCAUUUGCUGCUGCUUUACGUGGCAGACAGAUGCAAAUGGUCAGAUUCUUCUUCUCAGCAAAGGGAAUGGAGCUGGAGCCAUGGAGGAUACCUGCCUGUUGGAAAAAUAAAUGGUCAGACUCUUCUUCCCAGCAAAGGGAUGCUGCUCGUACGGCUUGCUUGAAGCCUGUCCGUCAUUUGUGUCCAAGAAAUGCUAUUCCGUUGAUCUUCACCGAAGGCAGUGAUGUUCCAAGAUAUCAUCAUCACCGUCGUCCGUCGGUUGAUCAUCCCGGUGAUUCACUGAAGAUAGAGAGGAGAGGAGCACCAUUCACUACAAUCCGCGCCAUUGAGCAGCUCAAGAUGCUCUUCAAAUGAGCUGCUUCUUUGCCAUGAACUGCAUGAUCUUGUACCUCAGAAUUGGUAGCAGCAGUAUCUGUCGAAUGCUUAUGGGAAGAUGGCCGAGGUGGUAGGUCUCAGGACCUUUUGUGAAUGAGGCAUGGAAUGGGUGCAGAGGAAGAACCAUCCAAAUCCAGUUUGGCCAUCAGGCUUUUGUUAAAAGUUGUUAUUAAAACUGUGAUGUUGUACAAAGUGAAGUUUUUCUUUCAAAUUGUACACAUUUAUAAAAAAGGCGAAGAUGGUUGAUGUUCACCACAUCUUAGACAUUCUCUAUAUUUAUUAUCAUUGCCAUCGUCUGAUAAAACAUUCUACCACAUCCAUAUUCUCGAGUUAUAACGGCGCAGCGAGGCACACCUUUUCUUCAAGUUACACUUAACUGUUGCUAUGUACGUCAGCUGUAACUAGUAGCUAAGAUGAGCAUGAGGUAUGUCGCGAAAUCGCUCAACAUCACAGCCAUUGUGUGUUCUGAAUGUGUUGUACUGCUCACUGUCAGUAUUCUACAAGAAUUACACUAGCUAGCUAACACGCUUCUUAUUAUGUUAUCUGACGAAAACAUUUCAGAGUCGCUCCCCUGCCGAGGAAGCGUGGCAAGUACCUAAGCAUCUCAUUUGCUGCUGCUUUGCCUGGCAGAUGUGAACAUGGAAUGGUGCUCAUCUCAUCCUAUUCCGUGCGUGCACUCGUGGCGCCUGAUUGCUUGAGCGCGCGCCGGAUGUUGUCUCAGACCCAGAGUUUGGAUUUUACGUUACGAUGAUUGAUGAAUAUAAGUUGCACUACACUUGGAUAGUUUGUAUCAGACAGACCCCAUAGUUGGCCUGACUGGUUUCUUCUGUUGCUGCUAGCCAAAAAUCUCCAAGGACGGACCUACUGAGGGGUGUUGGUGGCAUCUCAGAAAUGAAAGUGUUGUGGACGGAGGGGGACCUGCUGCUGAACAUGCUUGGGAUGGGAGUGCUCUGCUCACCUCAACUUAUGAUGUGAAAAGGAAAGAACCGUGUCUUUAAUUCGCGCCAAUUAAGUCCGGGUCAAAAAGGCCAUCACGAGCGGUAAAGUUCAAUGUUGAUGCCGCGCGCUUUCAGUUCAGAGCGACGAGCGCCGGUGCGGUACGUGAUGCGCGACCACCAUGGCGGUGUGGUGUACGCCAUUGCCAGGGACACACACAUAGAAGCUCUGUCAGGAAAUGUGCAAAUGUGAAGGAAGCUUUACGUCCUCGGUCUGAGUUUGGCGGUCCACUUCUCUCAAGACUACUUUAUCUUUGAUGAGAGCCAUUGGGCGCCUAUACCUGUACAUGAUCUCUCAAGAAUAUUCACUCAGCUACAAUGAACCCCCGUCCCCCCGGUAUAAAGAUGGUCGUAUCUGGAGAUGAAGAAGCUUUGCGUAGGGAGGCAGUUUAUUCAGGUCCACAAGACAUAGAGAAAAUAGCAACAAAGUUUUAUUUUUUGUGCGGGGUUGCACACGCAGAGAUAGCAAAAUCUUCCAACUCAGGAAGCUACCUUUUCACCGGUUCUUGGAAGCUUCUAGAAUCUUUUGGACGUUUUUUUCUCAUUUUUCUUUUCCUUGUUUCUUUGUGCUUUAUUAGUUAUCUUUUAGGCUUUUUUCCGUGUUCAUUUUUUAUUCUUCUCCUUUUUAUUUUUUCUUGUUUUAAAUUCAUGAGAUUUCAGAAUUUGUGAACAUUUAUAAAUUCUUUAUUUUUUUUCAAAAUCAUGAACUUUUUAAAAAUCACGAUAAUUUCAAAAUCUUGAACAUUUUUUCAAAUGUGUUCAUAGCAAAUAUUCGUAAUUUUUUUUAAAUUCAAGAACAUUUUUAAAAAUUUGUAAAUAUUUAGGUCAGUGAACUUUUCAAAUAUAUCAAACAACCGAUAAUUUCUUUUUUUGAGCUGUUUUUUACACAUUCAUGCACAUUGUUUUCAAUUCACGAGCGGAGCAGGCGGUGAGCUAGCGCUACUGGCCCGAGACCCACCGAGCUAGUAAUGCAGUGCUAAAGGUGGCACUAAAUAUGAAUAUAUAUAUUUUUUUCCUUUUUCUCCUCUUGGUUUUCUUUUUCCUACUUUUCAUUUUUAACAAAAAUUGAAAAAAGUUGCUGGAUUUGAUUUUCCUGUUAAUUGGAAAAAUAUUAGGAAAUAUAAUAAAUGUUCCAUAAUUUUAAAGAACGUCCCAGAAUUUGAAAAUGUUCCUAGAUUUUAAAAUAACAAUAAAAUAUUUAGAAAUAUACUAGCAUUUCAAAAAGUGUUAUCGAAAUAAAUAAAUGUAUGUGGAUAUAAAUAUAUCAUUAAUUUAAAAAUGUUCCUGCAUAAAUGUUUUUCCACUCACUAUAUACUCCUGAAUUCUAAAAUUGUUCUUCGAACUCAAAACAUAUUUCCAGAAUUCAAAUAUUCAUGAAUUUGUAAAAAAUAUGCCUGGACUUUCAAAAAUUCUCUCAUGAUUCAAAAAAUGCAUGGAUUUAAAAAUAAAAAGGAUAAAGAUAUAAAAUAAAAUAAAAUAGAAAAAACUGAAAAUAAACCGUUAAAACCAAGAAAAAAACACACAUACACAAAAACAGGUCGGGGAGGUUGGUGAAAACAAACACAGAAAAGACAGGAGCAAAGUCAUAUGCCAGACCCGAAUAACAUGAGAGGGAUGAGCAUUUGUUUUCAAGGUUCAUAUUGGGUGUUUUUCUUUGUUUUUCCACAAUUAAAUAUACUACGUCUACCAGAUUAUAUUCAUCUGCUUGUGUAGUGGUUUUGUUUAUUUAUAGCUGUGAAAUUGAUAUGUAUUCUUCAAAAUGGGCCGGAUAUAUUCCAGCUUUUGGAUGAGUUAGAGAAAGCCAUGUUUAUAAAAACCAGUGCUCCAAGACGAGAAAUAUGUCCCUAUUUUGACGGGUAAGUCUUAGUUUCCCCUUACCUACACAUUUUGCUGCUAAAUUUGCAUAUACACAUAGAAUUGUUGAUAUAGCUUGUACAAACAUAAUGGGGAUCACCAGAGUGAUCAUAGUUUUAAAUAACCAUGAAUGAGCUAGUGGUUCAUGACAUGAAGACAUGCUCUUUAAGACGAUCAAGUGGUUCCGAAUUUUAAUCCAGAAGUUAAUAGUUGAAUGGUUUUGUAGAAUUCAAAUAAUGAAUUUAGGGUUAGGAAAUUAACAAUGCAAUAUGUAACAUAAAUGCUUAAAUCGGUCGUAAAUCAACCUACGAAGUAGAAACUGAAUUUUUGAAAUUUUUUUAAAUGUUGCAUUACCUAAUUGGUGAGGACUUCUGUGUAGACAACACUUUUUGUGUAUGUCUCGCUUGUGCUGAUAUUCGUCUUCUUUUUCUUUAACUUUUUAUGCUUUCCAUUUGUUGUACUGAUCUUCUUAUUCUUCUCCUAGUUCCCUUAAUGUGUACCAAGACAAUAAACCGACAUGACAUUUUGAUACUAAAUAUUUUUACUUUGUGAUAUAGUUUUCACUGAAUGCAUUGUUUUCAAUUCGUUAUUUCACAUACAAUGUUAAAUAUAUAUUACAAUACCAACAAAAAAAUAUUCCAAAAAUAACUAGAACAAUUAACGAUGCCAUAAGACUCUCUUUCCCUUUAGUUUUAGUUUGGGGCAUUAAAGAAAUUCUUUUAUUAAGAUGGAUGUCAGUCCACCAAAUUAAUUUAUGUUAUUUAUCUACUCAAAGUGAAGUUGUUUCCCUACUCAACAAAUUUAACUUAGGUCUUUAAUGAAUUGGAAUGCAUCUAUCUUUAUCCAUACCAGACCUAAAUAUUUACUGAACUUUUGAACUUGGUAGAGUCCUUUGUACUAUAUGAAACUAGCAAAUAACUUUGUAAAUGUUUCUAAAAUUUCAAAGACUGAUAUUUUCGGAUUUAAUGAAAAAGAUAAUUCAAGAAUGUAUGAUGUGGCAACGAUUAUUUUGUCCUAGAUCCCCCGUGUGUACCAUUGGUUGUGGUGCUGCAUUCUUGGUCUGAGAACUUGCUAUCAAAUCAUAACAUUUAGAAUUCAAGUGUCCCAAGGCUAAACUUUAUUAAUGGUACUAGUGUUAACAACGAUGAUAUGUCCAUGAUUUAAUGGCUGAGACAAAAAGUUAUGGCCAGCAAUGGUAACAGGAUGGCCAGCAAUGUGUACCAAGUGUGUCAUUAUGCGAACUAGUUCUAUGAAAAUUAAUGUGUCACGAAUGAUAAUAACUUCAUAAGUUACAAUGAAAUUUCCAAUUUUUAUAUUCCCCCGAGAUGCCUAAGUUCCAUAUAUACUAUGCUUACUCUAUUGUUACUGACUUGGUAACUUAUGUCCAUCCUUAUGAGAACUUUGUACGGUCUCUUUAGUAAAAUCUACUUAUUGGAGCUUGCUGGUCCUAUACAUAAUGCUUCUUACCUUCAAAUUAGCAUUUGAAAAAUUGGUGUUGUACAUAAGGCUUCUUACCUUCAAAUUAGCAUUUGACAUUAUACUGUUGUUGUAUAUCGAUACAAGUGAUGAUGCAUAGAAAUUAUUAUAUAUAAAUAUUUAACUGAGUGCUUAAUGCAACAUUAUUAUCUCGCUACUUGCAUGUACACCUGUCUCUAAUCAAGUGUGUAUAAUGAAUGCUAUAAUAACUUCAGCAAGUUACAAUUCGUACCAUGAGCGAGCUCUGCUUGAAAAAACAAAGACGAGCAAGCUUCUAUUUUUUUGUUUUAUAGUCAUACAUCAAAUAGCUUUUGUGCCUGAGAUGAGUUUCCUUGCUAACAGCUGCCACACCCGUCGGAGUUAGUCAACCAUCGCAUUUUGUGUCCUAUUAUGUUGCUCGCGCAUUUAGUGUCAAAAAACUUUGCAAAGAUAUCACCGUUGUUGUUCUAAUAGAAAAUUCUAUCAGGCAGAAUUUAAUUUGCUGAAGAGACUAUUGUUGCAAAUGUUUUUUGUCAACCAUGGUCACCAUGUCUAGUGUUAGCCGCUCACCGAAGCCGUUGCCAUCCCUGGAGCCAAGGGAGCGGAUGUGGCGAGGAUUGGUGCGAAAUGGAGGUGCCCGCCAAUGAUAGACGUCGCCGAGAUUGAUCGCCUUGUUCAACAGUAUAGGGCAGAACAAUCAUGGACCACCAGCAGAGUCAAAUACAAGGUAGACUCAACAGCUCUGUUCUGUGACAUCCGAUAUUAAUGACAUACUGUUUGGAGUUGUGUCAUGAAGAAUUUUUUGAAGAUUGGAAUGGUUAGGUUGAUCUAUAUGUUUGUCUGUUGUUUUCUAGGCUUUACUGUAUAAUCAAGACUAUGGUCUUUUAAUAGACCACUCUGAUAGACAGCUCUGUUUUGUGGCUCUAUGUUGCAUGGAAAUUUACAAAUUUUAUUGUCUCGAUGCCUCGGUUUCAUAUUAUGCUUACUCUACUGUAAAUGGGCUUACCACGCUUACGUUGACGUCUAGGAUCAUUGUGGAGAAAUGUUUCUAUUGGAGCAUGUUGGUCCUAUAGAUAAGACCUCUUCCCUUCUAAUUAGCAUUUUAAAUUAUAAUGUUUCUGUAUAUAAUAUGGCAUUAUUGUCUUGUUGCUUAUCUCUACACCUGCCCCCUAACGUUAAGUGUCUCUAGGUACUUUGCUCCCUGGCUCAACGGAGUAUGACAAUGUACUAGGUCCUUCUUGUAAUUUUGUAAAUGACACGCUGAAUCUACUAGUUUUGGAUGAGUUUCACGGUCUGAAUCUAGCUAACCCGCUGAAUCUAUUGACAUGGAGUAUGACAAUUUUCUAGGUUCUUCUUGAUUUUUGGAAAAGAAUGUUGGGGAACAUAGUAAUUUCAAAAUUUUCCUACGCACACGCAAGAUCAUGGUGAUGCAUAGCGACGAGAGGAGAGAGUAUUGUCCACGUACCCUCGUAGACCGUAAGCGGAAGCAUUAUGACAACGCGGUUGAUGUAGUCGUACGUCUUCACGAUCCGACCGAUCCAAGUACCGAACAUACGGCACCUCCGAGUUCAGCACACGUUCAGCUCGAUGACGAUCCCCGGACUCCGAUCCAGCAAAGUGUCGGGGAUGAGUUCCGUCAGCAUGACGGCAUGGUGACGAUGAAGAUGUUCUACCGGAGCAGGGCUUCGCCUAAACUCCACGACGAUAUGACCGAGGUGGAAUAUGGUGGAGGGGGGCACCGCACACGGCUAAGGAACGAUCUUCAAGAUCAACUUGUGUGUUCUAGGGGCCCCCCUGCCCCCUUAUAUAAAGGAAGGAGGGGGAGGUGCGGCCGGCCCCCUAGGGGUGCGCCUGGAGGAGUCAUACUCCCACCAGGAGUAGGACUCCCCCCUCUUGCCUUGGUGGAGAAGGAAAAGGAGGGAGGGGAAAGAGGAAAGGGGGGCGCCGCCCCCCCCCCCCUUCCUUGUCCUAUUCGGACUAGGGGGGAGGGGGCGCGCGGCCUGCCCUGGCCGGCCCUCCUCUUCUCCCUCAUGGCCCACUAAGGCCCAUUAACCCCAGGGAGGGUUCCGGUAACCCCCCGGUGUUCCGGUAAAAUCCCAUUUCACCCAGAACCAUUCCGAUAUCCAAAUGUAGGCUUCCAAAAUAUCAAUCUUUAUGUCUCGACCAUUUCGAGACUCCUCGUCAUGUCCGUGAUCACAUCCGGGACUCCGAACAAACUUUGGUACAUCUAAACUUAUAAACUCAUAAUAAAACUGUCAUCGUAACGUUAAGCGUGCGGACCCUACGGGUUCGAGAACUAUGUAGACAUGACCGAGACACGUUUCCGGUCAAUAACCAAUAGCGGAACCUGGAUGCUCAUAUUGGCUCCCACAUAUUCUACGAAGAUCUUUAUUGGUCAAACCGCAUAACAACAUACGUUGUUCCCUUUGUCAUCGGUAUGUUACUUGCCCGAGAUUCGAUCGUCGGUAUCCAAUACCUAGUUCAAUCUCAUUACCGACAAGUCUCUUUACUCGUUACGUAAUGCACCAUUCCGUAACUAACUCACUAGCUACAUUGCUUGCAAGGCUUAUAGUGAUGUGCAUUACCGAGAGGGCCCAGAGAUACCUCUCCAACAAUCGGAGUGACAAAACCUAAUCUCGAAAUACGCCAACCCAACAUGUACCUUCGGAGACACCUGUAGAGCUCCUUUAUAAUCACCUAGUUACGUUGUGACGUUUGGUAGCACACAAAGUGUUCCUCCGGUAAACGGGAGUUGCAUAAUCUCAUAGUUACAGGAACAUGUAUAAGUUAUGAAGAAAGCAAUAGCAACAUACUAAACGAUCAAGUGCUAGGCUAACGGAAUGGGUCAAGUCAAUCACAUCAUUCUCCUAAUGAUGUGAUCCCGUUAAUCAAAUGACAACUGUUUUGUCCAUGGCUAGGAAACUUAACCAUCUUUGAUUCACGAGCUAGUCAAGUAGAGGCAUACUAGUGACACUAUGUUUGUCUAUGUAUUCACACAUGUAUUAUGUUUCCGAUUAAUACAAUUCUAGCAUGAAUAAUAAACAUUUAUCAUGAAAUAAGGAAAUAAAUAAUAACUUUAUUAUUGCCUCUAGGGCAUAUUUCCUUCAGUCUCCCACUUGCACUAGAGUCAAUAAUCUAGUUCACAUCGCCAUGUGAUUUAACACUAAUAUUCAUAUCUGUAUAUGAUUAACACCCAUAGUUCAUAUCGUCAUGUGACUAACACCCAAAGGGUUUACUAGAGUCAAUAAUCUAGUUCACAUAGCUAUGUGAUUAACACCCAAAGAGUACUGAGGUGUGAUCAUGUUUUGCUCGUGAGAGAAGCUUAGUCAACGGGUCUGCCACAUUUAGAGCCGUAUGUAUUUUGCAAAUAUUCUAUGUCUACAAUGCUCUGCACGAAGCUACUCUAGCUGAUUGCUCCCACUUUCAAUAUGUAUCGGAUCGAGACUUAGUGUCAUCUGGAUCAGUGCCAAAACUUGUAUUGACGUAAUCCUUUACGACGAACCUUUUGUCACCUCCAUAAUUGAGAAACAUAUCCUUAUUCCACUAAGGAUAAUUUUGACCAAUGUCCAGUGAUCUACUCCUAGAUCACUAUUGUACUCCCUUGCCAAACCAGGGCAGAGUAUACAGUAGGUCUGGACCAUAACAUGGCAUACUUUUAUAGAACCUAUGACUGAUGCAUAGGGAAUGACUUUCAUUCUCUUUCUAUUUUCUGCCGUGGUCGGGAUUUGAGUCUUACUCAACUUCACACCAUGGAACACAGGCAAGAACUCCUUCUUUGACUGUUCCAUUUUGAACCACUUCAAAAUCUUAUCAAGGUAUGUACUCAUUGAAAAAUCUUAUCAAGCGUCUUGAUCUAUUUCAAUAGAUCUUGAUGCUCAAUAUGUAAGUAGCUUUACUGAGGUCUUUCUUUUUAAAAAAACUCUUAUUCAAGUAUCCUUUUAUGCUAUCCAGAAAUUCUAUAUCAUUUCCAAACAACAAUAUGUCAUCCACAUAUAGUAUUUAGAAAUGCUACAGAGCUCCCACUCACUUUUUUGUAAAUACAGGCUUCUCCAAAAGUCUAUAUAAAACCAUAUGCUUUGAUCAACUCAUCAAAGCGUAUAUUCCAACUCCGAGAUGCUUGCACCAGUCCAUAGAUGGAUCACUGGAGCAUGCACACUUUGUUAGCACCUUUAGGAUUGACAAAACCUUCUGGUUGUAUCAUAUACAACUCUUCUUUAGUAAAUCCAUUAAGGAAUGUAGUUUUGACAUCCAUUUGCCAAAUUUCAUAAAAUGUGGCAAUUGCUAACAUGAUUCGGACAGACUUAAGCAUCGCUACAGUUGAGAAAAUCUCAUUGUAGUCAACACCUUGAACUUGCCAAAAACCUUUUUGCGACAAGUCAAGCUUUGUAGAUAGUAACACUACUAUCAACGUCCGUCUUCCUCUUGAAGAUCCAUUUAUUUUCUAUGGUUUGCCUAUCAUCGGGCAAGUCCACCAAAGUCCACACUUAGUUCUCAUACAUGGAUCCUAUCUCAGAUUUCAUGGCCUCCAGCCAUUUUGCGGAAUCUGGGCUCAUCAUCGCUUCCUCAUAGUUUGUAGGUUUAUCAUGGUCUAGUAACAUGACUUUCAGAACAGGAUUUGAAGGAAAUAUGCCCUAGAGGCAAUAAUAAAGUUAUUAUUUAUUUCCUUAUUUCAUGAUAAAUGUUUAUUAUUCAUGCUAGAAUUGUAUUAACCGGAAACAUAAUACAUGUGUGAAUAAAUAGACAAACAUAGUGUCACUAGUAUGCCUCUACUUGACUAGCUUGUUUAUCAAAGAUGGUUAUGUUUCCUAGCCUUGGACAAAAGAGUUGUCAUUUGAUUCACGGGAUCACAUCAUUAGGAGAAUGAUGUGAUUGACUUGACCCAUUCCGUUAGCCUAGCACUUGAUCGUUUAGUAUGUUGCUAUUGCUUUCUUCAUGACUUAUACAUGUUCCUGUAACUAUGAGAUUAUGCAACUCCCGUUUACCGGAGGAACACUUUGGGUGCUACCAAACGUCACAACGUCACUGGGUGAUUAUAAAGGAGUACUACAAGUGUCUCCAAAGGUACAUGUUGGGUUGGCGUAUUUCGAGAUUAGGUCACUCCAAUUGUCGGAGAGGUAUCUCUGGGCCCUCUCGGUAAUGCACAUCACUAUAAGCCUUGCAAGCAAUGUUACUAAUGAGUUAGUUACGGAAUGAUGCAUUACGUAACGAGUAAAGAGACUUGCCGGUAACGAGAUUGAACUAGUUAUUGGAUACCGAUGAUCGAAUCUCGGGCAAGUAACAUACCGAUGACAAAGGGAACAACGUAUGUUCUUAUGCGGUUUGACCGAUAAAGAUCUUCGUAGAAUAUGUAGGAGCCAAUAUGGGCAUCCAGGUUCCGCUAUUGGUUAUUGACCGAGAAUAGUUCUAGGUCAUGUCUACAUAGUUCUCGAACCCGUAGGGUCCACACGCUUAAGGUUUCGAUGACAGUUAUAUUAUGAGUUUAUGAAUUUUGAUGUACCGAAGGAGUUCGGAGUCCCGGAUGAGAUCGGGGACAUGACGAGGAGUCCCGAAAUGGUCGAUAUGUAAAGAUCGAUAUAUUGGACGACUAUAUUCGCACUUCGGAAAGGUUCCGAGUGAUUCGGGUAUUUAUCGGAGUACCGGAGAGUUACGGGAAUUCGCCGGGGAAAAGUAUUGGGCCUUAUUGGGCCAUACGGGAAAGAGAGAGGGGCUGCGUAGGGCAGGCCGCGCACCCCCCCAAGGCCUAGUCCGAAUUGGACUAGGGGGAGGGGUCGCACCCCCUCCUUCCUUCCCUUCUCUCUUCCCUUUCCUUCUCUCCUACUCCUACUACAUGGAAGGUCUCCUAGUUGGACUAGGAAAGGAGGGAGUCCUACUCCCGGUGGGAGUAGGACUCCUCCCUGGCGCGCCCUCCCUUGGCCGGCCGCCUCCUCCCCCUUGCUCCUUUAUAUACGGGGGCAGGGGGGCACCCCAGGACACACAAGUUGAUCUACGGAUCGUUCCUUAGCCGUGUGCGGUGCCCCCCUCCACCAUAUUCCACCUCGGUCAUAUCGUCGCGGAGUUUAGGCGAAGCCCUGCGCCGAUAGUACAUCAUCAUCGUCACCACGCCGUCGUGCUGACGGAACUCAUCCUCGAAGCUUUGCUGGAUCGGAGCCCGAUGAUCGUCAUCGAGCUGAACGUGUGCUGAACUCGAAGGUGCCGUACGUUCGGUACUUGGAUCGGUCGGAUCGUGAAGACGUACGACUACAUCAACCGCGUUGUCAUAACGCUUCCGCUUACGGUCUAUGAGGAUACGUGGACAACACUCUCCCCUGUCGUUGCUAUGCCAUCACCAUGAUCUUGCGUGUGCGUAGGAAAUUUUUUGAAAUUACUACGUUCCCCAACAGGAUUACCAUACCACUCUGGUGCGGACCGUACUCUGGAAGACCUACGAGGUUCUGUAGUAACUUGAUCAGAAGUUUCAUGAUCAUCAUCAUUAGCUUCCUCACUAAUUGGUGUAGGAAUCACUAGAACUAAUUUCAGUGAUGAACUAUUUUCCAAUUCAGGAGAAGGUACAAUUACCUUAUCAAGUUCUACUUUCCUCCCACUCACUUCUUUCGAGAGAAACUCCUUCUCUAGAAAGGAUCCAUUUUUAGCAACGAAUAUCUUGCCUUCAGAUCUGUGAUAGAAGGUGUACCCAACAGUUUCCUUUGGGUAUUCUAUGAAGAUGCACUUCUCCAAUUUGGGUUUUGAGCUUAUCAGGAUGAAACUUUUUCACACAAGCAUCGCGGCCCCAAACUUUAAGAAACGACAACUUGGGUUUCUUGCUAAACCACAGUUCAUAUGCUGUCGUCUCAACGGAUUUAGAUAGUGCCCUUUUAACGUGAAUGCAGCUGUCUCUAAUGCAUAACCCCAAAACAAUAUUGGUAAAUCAGUAAGAGACAUCAUAGAUCGCACCAUAUCCAAUAAAGUGCGGUUACGACGUUCGGACACACCAUAACAUUGUGGUGUUCCAGGUGGCGUGAGCUCUGAAACUAUUCCACAUUGUUUUAAUUGAAGACCAAACUCGUAACUCAAAUAUUCGUCUCCGCGAUCAGAUCGCAGAAACUUUAUUUUCUUGUUACGAUGAUUUUUCCACUUCACUCUGAAAUUCUUUGAACCUUUCAACUAUUUCAGACUUAUGUUUCAUCAAGUAGAUAUACCCAUAUCUGCUCAAAUCAUCUUGUGAGGGUCAGAAAAUAACGAUACUUGCCACGAGCCUUCAUACUCAUUGGUCUGCAUACAUCAGUAUGUAUUAUUUCCAACAAGUCAGUAGCUUGUUCCAUUGUUCCGAAGAACGGAGUUUUAGUCAUAUUGCCCAAAAGGCACGGUUCGCAAGCAUCAAAUGAUUCAUAACCAAGUGAUUCCGAAAAACCAUCUUUAUGGAGUUUCUUCAUGCGUUUUACACCUAUAUGACCCAAACGGCAGUGCCACAAAUAAGUUGCACUAUCAUUAUUAACUUUGCAUCUUUUGGCAUCAAUAUUAUGAAUAUGUGUAUCACUACGAUCGAGAUCCAACAAACUAUUUUCAUUGGGUGUAUGACCAUUGAAGGUUUUAUUCAUGUAAACGGAACAACAAUUAUUCUCUGAUUUUAAAUGAAUAACCGUAUUGCAAUAAACAUGAUCAAAUCAUAUUCAUGCUCAACGCAAACGCCAAAUAACAUUUAUUUAGGUUUAACACUAAUCCCAAAAGUAUAGGUAGUGUGCGAUGAUGAUCAUAUCAAUCUUGAACUACUUCCAACACUCAUCAUCACUUCCCCCUUCAACUAGUCUCUGUUUAUUCUGUAACUCCUGUUUCGAAUUACUAAUUUUAGCAACUGAACAAGUAUCAAAUACUCAAGGGCUACUAUAAACACUAGUAAGGCACACAUCAAUAAUCUGUAUAUGAAAUAUACCCUUGUUCACUUUGCCAUCCUUCUUAUCCACCAAAUAUUCAGGGCAUUUCCACUUCCAGUGACCAUUUCCUUUACAGUGUAAACACUCAGUUUCAGGCUUUGGUCCAGCUUUGGUCUUCUUCAUGGGAGUGACAACUUGUUUGCCAUUCUACUUGAAGUUUCCCUUUCUUUCUUUUCUUGAAACUAGUGGUCUUGUCAAUCAUCAAUACUUGAUGCUCUUUCUUGAUUUCUACCUUCGUUGAUUUCAACAUCACGAAGAGCUCGGGAAUCGUUUUUGUCAUCCCUUGCAUACUAUAGUUCAUCACAAAGUUCUAGUAACUUAGUGAUGGUGACUAGAGAAUUCUAUCAAUCACUAUCUUAUCUGGAAGAUUAACUCCCACUUGAUUCAAGUGAUUGAAGUACCCAGACAAUGUGAGCACAUGCUCACUAGUUGAGCGAUUCUCCUCCAUCUUUUAGCUAUAGAACUUGUUGGAGACUUCAUAUCUCUCAACUCGGGUAUUUUCUUGAAAUAUUAACUUCAAUUCCUGGAACAUCUCAUAUGGUCCAUGACGUUCAAAACAUCUUUGAAGUCCUGAUUCUAAGCCGUUAAGCAUGGUGCACUAAACUAUCAAGUAGUCAUCAUAUUGAGCUAGCCAAACGUUCAUAACGUCUGCAUCUGCUCCUGCAAUAGGUUUGUCACCUAGCGGUGCAUCAAGGACAUAAUUCUUCUGUGCAGCAAUGAGGAUAAACCUCAGAUCACGGAUCCAAUCCGCAUCAUUGCUACUAACAUCUUUCAACACAGUUUUCUCUAGGAACAUAUCAAAAUAAACAUAUGAAAGCAACAACGCGAGCUAUUGAUCUAUAACAUAAUUUGCAAAAUACUACCAGGACUAAGUUCAUGAUAAAUUAAAGUUCAAUUAAUCAUAUUACUUAAGAACUCCCACUUAGACAGACAUCUCUCUAGUCAUCUAAGUGAUCACGUGAUCCAAAUCAACUAAACCAUGUCCGAUCAUCACGUGAGAUGGAGUAGUUUCAAUGGUGAACAUCACUAUGUUGAUCAUAUCUACUAUAUGAUUCACGUUCGACCUUUCGGUCUCCGUGUUCCGAGGCCAUAUCUGUUAUAUGCUAGGCUCAUCAAGUUUAACCUGAGUAUUCUGUGUGUGCAACUGUUUUGCACCCGUUGUAUUUGAACGUAGAGCCUAUCACACCCGAUCAUCACGUGGUGUCUCAGCACGAAGAACUUUCGCAACGGUGCAUACUCAGGGAGAACACUUCUUGAUAAUUUUUAGUGAGAGAUCAUCUUAAAAUGCUACCGUCAAUCAAAGCAAGAUAACAUGCAUAAAGGAUAAACAUCACAUGCAAUCAAUAUAAGUGAUAUGAUAUGGCCAUCAUCAUCUUGUGCUUGUGAUCUCCAUCUCCGAAGCACCGUCAUGAUCACCAUCGUAGCAUCGUUGUUGUUACGCCAUCUAUUGCUUCUACGACUAUCGCAACCGCUUAGUGAUAAAGUAAAGCAAUUACAGGGCGUUUGCAUUUCAUACAAUAAAGUGACAACCAUAUGGCUCCUGCCAGUUGCCGAUAACUUCGGUUACCAAACAUGAUCAUCUCAUACAAUAAAAUAUAGCAUCACAUCUUGACCAUAUCACAUCACAACAUGCCCUACAAAAACAAGUUAGACGUCCUCUACUUUGUUGUUGCAAAUUUUACGUGGCUGCUACGGGCUGAGCAAGAACCGUUCUUACCUACGCAUCAAAACCACAAUGAUAGUUUGUCAAGUUAGUGUUGUUUUAACCUUUGCAAGGACCGCACGUAGCCACACUCGAUUCAGCUAAAGUGAGAGAAACAGACACCCGCCAGUCACCUUUAAGCACGAGUGCUCGUAGCGGUGAAACCAGUCUCGCGUAAGCGUACGCGUAAUGCCGGUCCGGGCCGCUUCAUCUCACAAUACCGCUAAGCCAAAGUACGACAUGUUGGUAAGCAGUAUGACUUGUAUCGCCCACAACUCACUUGUGUUCUACUCGUGCAUAUGACAUCUACGCAUAAAACCUGGCUCGGAUGCCACUGUUGGGGAACGUAGUAAAUUCAAAAUUUUCCUACGCACACGCAAGAUCAUGGUGAUGCAUAGCAACGAGAUGUGAGAGUAUUGUCCACGUACCCUUGUAUACCGUAAGCGGAAGCGUUAUGACAACGCGGUUGAUGUAUUCGUACGUCUUCACGAUCCGACCGAUCCAAGUACCGAACGUACGGCACCUCCGAGUUCAGCGCACGUUCAGCUCGAUGACGAUCCCCGGACUCCGAUCCAGCAAAGUGUUGGGGAUGAUUUCCGUCAGCACGACGGCGUGGUGACGAUGAUGAUGUUCUACCGGCGCAGGGCUUCGCCUAAACUCCGCGACGAUAUGACCGGGGUGGAAUAUGGUGGAGGGGGGCACCGCACACGGCUAAGGAACGAUCUUCAAGAUCAACUUGUGUGUUCUAGGGUGCCCCCUGCCCCCGUAUAUAAAGGAGGGAGGGGGAGGUGCGGCCGGCCCCCUAGGGGUGCGCCUGGGAGUAGGACUCCCCCCUCUUGCCUUGGUGGAGAAGGAAAAGGAGGGAGAGGAAAGAGGAAAGGGGGGCGCCGCCCCCCCUUCCUUGUCCUAUUCGGACUAGGGGGGAGGGGGCGUGCGGCCUGCCCUGUCUGGCCCUCCUCUUCUCCCUCAUGGCCCACUAAGGCACAUUAACCCCCGGGAGGGUUCCGGUAACCCCCCGGUGUUCCGGUAAAAUCCCGAUUUCACCCGAAACCAUUCCGAUAUCCAAAUAUAGGCUUCCAAUAUAUCAAUCUUUAUAUCUCGACCAUUUCGAGACUCCUCGUCAUGUCCGUGAUCACAUCCGGGACUCCGAACAAACUUUGGUACAUCUAAACUUAUAAACUCAUAAUAAAACUGUCAUCGUAACGUUAAGCGUGCGGACCCUACGGGUUCGAGAACUAUGUAGACAUGUCCGAGACACGUUUCCGGUCAAUAACCAAUAGCGGAACCUGGAUGCUCAUAUUGGCUCCCACAUAUUCUACGAAGAUCUUUAUCGGUCAAACCGCAUAACAACAUACGUUGUUCCCUUUGUCAUCGGUAUGUUACUUGCCCGAGAUUCGAUCGUCGGUAUCCAAUACCUAGUUCAAUCUCGUUACCGGCAAGUCUCUUUACUCGUUACGUAAUGCAUCAUUCCGUAACUAACUCAUUGGCUACAUUGCUUGCAAGGCUUAUAGUGAUGUGCAUUACCGAGAGGGCCCAGAGAUACCUCUCCAACAAUCGGAGUGACAAAACCUAAUCUCGAAAUACGCCAACCCAACAUGUACCUUCGGAGACACCUGUAGAGCUCCUUUAUAAUCACCUAGUUACGUUGUGACGUUUGGUAGCACACAAAGUGUUCCUCCGGUAAACGGGAGUUGCAUAAUCUCAUAGUUACAGGAACAUGUAUAAGUCAUGAAGAAAGCAAUAGCAACAUACUAAACGAUCAAGUGCUAGGCUAACGGAAUGGGUCAAGUCAAUCACAUCAUUCUCCUAAUGAUGUGAUCUCGUUAAUCAAAUGACAACUCUUUUGUCCAUGGCUAGGAAACAUAACCAUCUUUGAUAAACAAGUUAGUCAAGUAGAGGCAUAUUAGUGACACUAUGUUUGUCUAUUUAUUCACACAUGUAUUAUGUUUCCGGUUAAUACAAUUCUAGCAUGAAUAAUAAAUAUUUAUCAUGAAAUAAGUAAAUAAAUAAUAACUUUAUUAUUGCCUCUAGGGCAUACUUGCUUCAAAGAAAACCAGCGGCUACUUAAUUUAGGAAGCGCCCACUUAUUUAGGUUUUUACUUUAGCGUUACUUGCUUUUCUUUCCAGAACUUCGUGGUUGCUGUAAUUUCUACAGCAGUUUUUCUCGACAUGCACAUGGCAGAAAUUAUACUAUUGACCAUAAAAAAAGAAAUUAUACUAUUGUUAGCAUAAGACGUUGGUCGCGCAAACCCUAUUUGCCUCUCAGUGCGAUAAAUUGUCUGUUUUUCCGGUUUUAGAAAAGUUCUAGAAGGUUCUUCUAACCCGUUUUUUCAAAAACAAAAUCUUCUAUUGUUUAUCUACCAGUUCUAUUAUUAAAUUUUGCAUUUUUGGUAUUUAUUUUCUUAUAAAUUGUUCAUGCUAUUUAAAUAUCCAUAAUUUUAUAAGAUGCUCAUGAAAUUAUUAGAAAAUGUUCACUUUUUAAAAAAAGUUCAUAGUUAUAGAAAAAUGUUCACUUUUUUUAAGAAAAGUUCAUAGUUAUAGAAAAAUGUUCACAUGUUUUAAAAAGAUUACCAUUUCUUUGAAAUAUUAUUUUCUAAAGAAUGUUCACAAAUGUUUCUAAAUGACAGGUUUUUUCACAUAAACAUAAUUUACGUUGUGACGCAUAAUAAAGAAAACAAAAUAGAAGCCAGCCGGGCGGGCCCAUGUAUGUACCAUUCCGGCCCUGCAGCAACUACAGGACCGAGCGGGCCACCAUUCCUGGAAUAUUCUAUUUGACGCUAGUUGCGGCAAAUAAAUUGUCGAAGAAACGCACAGGGAACAGGACCGAGCUAGCUACAUGAGCUGGCCCAUUACAUGGGCCGGCCCACUAGCGACAUGGACCGUUUUUUCUGUUGGACCGGCUUUCCUGUUUCUUCUUGGGUUUUUUUGUUUUUCGUUUUUUUCUUUUCUUCUUUUUCCGCUUUUCUGUUUAUUUUUCUUCUUUCUAAAUUUAUUUUCUGUUUUCUGUUUUCUGUUUUUUUGUUUCUUCGUUUAUUUUGGCAUUGCAGAAACGUUUUUUGAAAUUGCAGAAAUGGGGUCUUGGCAGUACUUGUUUGCGCAUUCAAAUAAUCCACAGAAAAAUAAUUCAAAUAAUUCAUAGAAUAAUCCAUACAUCACUAUUUCAUCUAGCGCACACCAAGUGCACGAUGACUUCAUCAAAAUAGUUCACAAAAACAAUGAUAAUAGGCCCCGAAAAUACAACUUUGAACGCUAGAAACUAUUCCCAUCAGGUUACUGAAAAUUGCCAUUCUAGUUUUUUAAAAUUAGGACCGUUUUAGGCAUUGACAUGGUGUUCAAAAAUAUUACCGUGGCCCCUAGUUCUAUCGAAUAAAUGGCACCACUAUAGACAUAUUCAAAAUUUCAAAUCAGCACGGAAAGAUUUUUUGAAUAUUCUGUAUUACAUUAGUAUUACAAACAUUUGAAUUUUUAAAAAUAAGUAUGUUUAAUACAGUGAAAUUAACAAAAAAAAUCAUGUUUUUAAAACUUGGGUACUCAAAAAGAUUGCAUUGUUAUUUUAAGGUUUACAAUAUUAUUGAUAUCUCAGAAUUUUCCAAGUUAGGCAGUACGAUCACUUGCAACACUACAUGAUCAAGUGUAAGUGGAAGAUUCUUAAUCAAACCAGUACAGUUAUUUUUGCAUGAAAAUAAAUUACCAUGUGUUUAAAUUAGUUGUUUUUAGCAGAGUGUGUUUUAAAUUAGUUUUCUUUGAGCGAAAUGCGUAGUAACACGGGUUGUGUGCAAAUAGAGAAAAAGAGUAGGGUUUUUUUUUGAGACGUUGAGAGAAAAGAAGAAGCGGAUGGGCCAAAGCGGUCAGGCCCAUGUACCUGGUGGCCGUGCAACAAUUCAUCAUCGACCAAGCCUUCCAUCCUUCUCUGCUCUGUUCCUGGCGAGUUCAACGGCAAACGAUGGCGGCGCCGGCGAGGGGACGAACGGUGAGCAAGACGAAGACGCGUGCGUCGUCUUCCAGGCCGGCCUUGCCUCCGCCGUGCUGGAACAGGAACUGGAACUGGAAGCAAGCCGCCGGGUCAUGUCAGGUCAGCCCUCAUCCACCUGCCCGCCCGCCAUGUGCUUGUGCUUAUGCCACUGCCACUGCCACCGAGUAGGAGUAGUUGUGUGCCCAAGACCACGAGGUAGCCUCCCUCCCUCCCUCCCUGGCUUGGGUUGGCAUGGCUGGAGUAUUUGUUUGUUGGCUUGGCUUGCCUUGCCUUGCCUUGCCUCUUCACAAACAAAUACUCAGGUCAUUCAUUGCUCACCAACAAACGCACAAGAGCGCGCAGUCAGUCAUAAAUAAUGCUGGGCGAGAGAGACAGAGGGUAGAAAUUAACACGGCGGGCCAACUACUCUACUCGAGAGCAGAGCAGGGCAGGGCAGGGCAUGGCAUCCAAUGCGUUUCUUCCCUCCAUCCCCAUCCGGCCCCAUCCCUGGUUCAUGCAUCUUUCAUCAAACGUACUCCUAGAAUUCAAUUGGUACGUCAGUAUCCCGCAAUAACUUGUUUGCUUGCUUCUCACAAAGUGUACUGUGUGUUCUGCCCAAGUUUUCCAACCCCCUCUUCUCCAACAGAUUCAAAUUUCAAAACAGACAGCCACACCACAAUAUUUGGGCGACGACCAAUUCAAACCAAACUUAGUAGUCGCCGGGGGGUUGUGGAUUCAUUCAUGCUAAUCACAAAACAAUAUCUGAAAUGAGUUUGGUUUAUGUUAUUAUUAUCAAGGAAAAAAAUAAAACUAAAUAUGUCUUCGUCCAAUGGGUAUAUUCUUACACAAAUCCUUCAUUAUUUCUGUGUCAUUUUCAGAAGCAUUCCAUACAACUAUCAUUAUUUCUGUGUUAUUAUUAUCAUUAUUUUUUAAUCAAUUUCAGAAGCAUUCCAUACAACUAUUAAUUUUUUUAAUUGGUUCAAAACAAUGUACAAAUAUAAUUUGUAGAUUUAACACAUUUCAAUUAUUUUUAUAUUCAAUCAGUUCUAGAAACAUUCCACAUACAUUUCACACAAAUUUCUUUUUAUUCAAGACACGUGUCAAUCUGAUAAUUGAAGUUACAUUUUUAUGAAAAAUAAUAUGAAGGUUUUUCAAAAUUUGGAACCAUCUUGAAUUUUGUAAUUGUGGGAAAUAAGCAUAUUUGAAACUAUUGUGAGUCGUCGUGUUUAAAUAAGAGGUUGCCUGGUAGGCUAGUCGCACAGGUGCGCGACGGUGAUGUUAAUCUUGGUGGGUAAUGCAAAGGCACACCAUCAUGCAUGGCUGCAUUCACUCUUUAUCCACGGCAAAAUUCUCCUCCUGCUUUGUGGAGUCCAUGGUCCGGAGGUCGACGCCGCACCCCGGAAAUAAAAGCGGCUGCUGUCGCUCGGCCUUGACGGUGUAGUUCUGACCUAGCAAGAAGUCAGCUUCAAGCCGAGGGUAGCUUGAAAGCGGUGUUAUGAGCUGACUCUGCUCAUCUGCCACAUAGCUUAUUCCACGAGCAGUGUACCUGAGUUUCAGACUGGACACAAACACAUGCAAGUUAAUUAAUUUGAAAUGUGCAUGUGCACCUCAAAUCUUUGCAUGUUCCAACAUGUUUGCCUCCAGCGCCGAGGACGAGGAGAAGGACAUGUUGUCGCCACCAAUGGCGGAAUGGGUCUGAAACCCAUUGCCGCCGAUAGUGGCCGUGGUGAGGCGCGGCACAUCGGACUAGGAGAAUCAUCUAUUAGAUCAAUGUUAUUUGCACAGGGGGUUACUCAUGUGAGGUAUAACGGAGAUAUACAAAUUUACCGGUAGGUACGACCCUGUGGCAGAGGAGGACGAGGCGGCCGGCAGUUGGGACUCGGGGACGAGCUGCGGCUUUCUUGAACGGUGCUCGUAGAACUUGGAGCCGGAGGCGGCCGGCGGUUGGGACUGGGGGAUGAACAGUGUUUUCACGCGCUUUCUUGAAUGGCGCUCGCAAAACUUGGAGCCGGAGGCAGCGUCGUUGGCACACCGCCACUUCUUGCCGUCCACACGGCGGCACCGCGCCAAUUGUCGAACGGACUCCAUCUUGUUGCCCGAUCCAACUGCACAAAGCCCGCAAAUCCGAUCGAUCAGUACACUGCACACGCAGGAUGCAGAUGCAAGGUAAAGUUGCCUAUUCGUCAAUCCUAAAAACUAGUCAGAUUUGCAGCAAAUAAAAAAAAAGUGUAGAAAAAAGAAAAGGUUCCUCCUCUUAAGCAGGGCAAAUCGACAUGUUACUCGACCCUAUGCUACUCUGUUUUGGACAUGAGGACGCGUUUUGAACCCUCCCCACGAAACCAUGUGCGUAAAAACCUUGAAAAUAGAUUAAUGAAAAACAAACACACACACACACACACACACACACACACACACAGAGUUUUCGGUGGAACGCACGCACGGACGCGUUUCACGAAUAGCGCAUCCCCAAACAAAAGACCGAACGGUAAAAGCGGCGCACUAGCACAACCAUACUAAAUAGUACAAGAAAUCGGAAGAUUUGCGGCGAAGAAGAGGUACCGGAGAGGGGGCGGCGAGGGAUUCCAUGCUAGGAAGCACGAGACCUGGACCCGGAGUGGCGGGCAGGCCGGACAUCAGGUGAUUCUAUACCCGCAUUAAGGUUGAGCCGUUCGAUAUUGUCAAAUCAAAUGUUUUCUCGACCUAGUGGGUUACAAUGAGUGAGCCAACAUGCCAUUUUGAUAGUAAAUAUUUUUACUCUAUGAUAUAGUUUUUCAUUGAAUGCAUUGUUUUCAAUUCGUUACUUCCCAUAUAAUGUUAAAUAAUAUAUUCCAAUACCCACAAAGAACAUUCCAAAAAUAACUAGAACAAUUAACAAUGCCAUAAGAAUCUGUUUCCUUUUUGUUUUAGUUUGAGACAUUUAAGAAACUCUUUCCUUAAGAUGGAUCUCACUCCACCAAAUUAAUUUAUGUUAUUUAUCUAAUCAAAGUGAAGGUGCUGUCCUACUCAACAAAAUUAAUUUAGGUCACUAAUGAAUUGGAAUGCAUCCAUCUUUAUCCAUACCACACCUAAAUAUUUACUGAACUUUCGAACUUGGUAGAGUCCUUUGUACUGCACGAAACUAGCAAAUAACUUUAUCAAUGUUUCUAAAUUUACAAAGACAAAAAAGAUAAUUCAAGAAUGUAUGAUGUGGCCACGAUUAUUUUGUCCUAGAUCCCCGUGUGUACCAUUGGUUGCGGUGUUGCUUUCUUCGUCUUAGAAAUUGCUAUCAAAUCAUAACAUUUAGAAUUCAAGUGUCCCAAGGCUGAGCUUUGUUCAUUUGACUAUUAUAGUAGUUCUCACAACAAUUAGAUAAUCAAACUAAAAAUUAAUGGUACUAGUGUUAACAACGACGGUAUGUCCGCGAUUUAAUCGAUGAGACAAAAAGUUAUGGCCAGCAAUGGUAACGGGAUGACUACGCCCAAUGGUAACAUAAAAAAAUUGAGUAAUGAGACUUCUGACAAUAUACUAUUGUUGUAUACUGAAUUACUGAACAAGUGGUGAUAUUUAACUAAAGUCCUUAAUGUAGCAUUAACCUGCUACUUAUUUGUUCACCUGCCCUCUAAUCAAGUGUGUCAUUUUGCGAAACUAGUUCUAUGAUAAUUAAUGUGUCACGAAUGAUAAUAACUUCCUAAGUUACAAUAAAAUUUCCAAUUUUUAUAUUCCCCUGAGAUGCCUCAGUUCCAUACUAUGCUUACUAUAUUGUUACUGACUUGGUAAGUUAUAUCCGUCCUUAUGAGAACGUUGUAGGGUCUCUGUUGUGAAAUCUACUUAUUGGAGCUUGUUGGUCCUAUACAUAAGGCUUCUUACCUUCAAAUUAGCAUUUGAAAUUGGUGUUGUACAUAAGGCUUCUUACCUACAAAUUAGCAUUUGAAAUUGUACGGUUGAUGUAUAUUGAUACAAAUGGUGAUGCAUAUAGAAAUAAUUAACUGAGUGCUUAACGCAACAUUACUGUCAUGCUACUUGCAUGUACACUUCUCUCUAAUCAAGUGUGUACAAUGAAUGCUAUAAUAACUUCAGCAUGUUAGGUUCGUGCCAUGAGCCAGCUCCGCCAGAAAAAACAAACACGAGCAAUCGUUGAUUCGUUUUUUUAGUCAUACAACAAUAGCUUUUAUGCGUGAGAUGAUUUUCCUUGCUGACAACUGCCACACCUGUCGGAGUUAGUCAACCAUCGCAUUUUGUCUCCUAUUAUGUUGCUCGCACAUUUGAUGUCAAAACCUUUGCAUAAAUAUCACCGUUGUUGAUCUAACAACAAAUUAUAUUAGGCGGAAUUGAAUUUGUUGAAGAGACUAUUGUUGCAAAUGUUUUUUUGUCAGCCAUGGUCACCAUGUCUAGUCUCAGCCGCUCACCGAAGCCGUCGCCAUGCCUGGAGCCAAGGGAGCGGAUGUGGCGAGGAUCGGUGCCAAAUGGAGGUGCCCGCCAAUGAAAGACGUCGCCGAGAAUGAUCACCUUGUUGAACAGUAUAGCGCAGAACAAUCAUGGACCAUCAGCAAAGUCGGAUCCCAGGUAGACUCAACAGCUCUGUUCUGUGACAUCUGAUAUUAAUGACAUACUCUUUGGAGUUGUCUCAUGAAGAAUUUUUUAAGAUUGGAACGGUUAGGUUGAUCUAUCUAUUUAUCUGUUGUUUUCUAGGCUUUACUGUACAAUCAAGACUAUGGUCUUUUAAUAGACCACUCUGAUAGACAGCUCUGUUUUGUGGCUCCAUUGUUGCAUGGCCAUUUACAAAUUUUAUUGGCUCGAUGCCUCGGUUUCAUAUAAUGCUUACUCUACUGUAAAUUAUACGUCCGGAGCCGGACUAGCACCGCUUAGUUGAUGUACAUGUAAUGAAAUCCGUCAUGUUUAUAUGAAGUCUGGACCGUGUUUAUAUGAAAUCUGUCAUGUUUAUAUAAAAUCCGGUCUUGUUUGCAUGAACGUCAUCCGGUUUGUUGAAAAAGAGUUUGAAAUGUAUGCGGCUAUGGUUGAAUGUCGUCCUCCCGCAUCCGUGUCCACGGACUGGUCCCGCUGUCCGCGGACGGACGCGGGAGGAAAUUUGCGGGUUGUUGUUGGAGAUGCCCUAACGCACAAGCUAGACUACAUGUAAAUGUGAGCACUAGGUUUUUCUAUAUGUCCAUGGAUCUAUUCUUGCAAGCAAAUUGUGUAAAAUGAAGCAAGUCUGACAACACAUUAAUUUGAACAGAUAAUCACAGUGCUGCUGCUCUGGUGACCAUGACAAAGCAGGUACUGCCUUCCCGUGACUCCCUUGGGCUCCAUCCACAUUAUCCGCUCAUGCCAGCUGGUGACUCCUUUCAAACUUCACCAUCUAACAUGUGCAAGAUUAUCCUUUUCUACUUAGAUAGAUCACUUCAAAAAAGGUAUAAAAAUCAAGCAAGAAAACGGAUGCGCUAACGCGCAACGGCUUUCGCGCUAGUUGUUCAAUCCAUUGCUUGCUUCUCUUCUGUCUUGGAAAUGGUGCCUGAGUGCCCAAAAAAGAAAAACCUAUUCAUCUAUAGUAAGCUACUGUGAGACUUUGGUAGGUCAAGUCGAUCAAGGAAAAUCCAGACCAGAUCUCUCUCGCUCUCCCAAUUAUUACCAGGCAACAUCAACAGCGUGUGUCCCAUCCGGAUCAAAUCGAUUUGGGAUAAGUAUACUUUUCGUCCUCGAACUCUUCCUAGAGUUUAGAAAUCGUCCCUCAACUCUAAACCGGAGAGUUUUUAUCCCUCGACUAUCAAAACUGGAUAGUUUUCGUCCCUCGUGCCGCUUCGGGCGGUUUUAUUCCGGGGUAAACAGUAAAUCGGUGAACAGUAAAAUCGAAAAAAUAGCAACAAAAAUCAAAAGAAUCUGAAAAUUUACAGCAUCGAAGAUACUUUGGUGCACAAGACACAUGCAAAAUUUUGUGGUGUUUUGAUAUUCGAGCAGCUCGUGGCAAACAAAAAACUACAAAUAUGUACGUCAGUGAACAGUAAAUUCAAAAUAAAUAGCAAAAAAUUUCAAAGCAGUAUGAAUUUUUUUGGCAUAAAAGAGACUUGGGUGCCCAACGUGCGUGCAAAUUUUCGUGAUGUUGGGUAUUGUACGAACUCGUGACAAAAAAUAAAUUUUGGCUCAGAUUUAUUUUUUUGAAAAAGUGCGCUAUUUUUUUUGGCUAGAGCUCCUCGUAUGUCAUUUGAUCACGAAUUUUUGCAUGCAUCUUGCGUACCUGAGCAUCUUUGAUGCCAAAAUGUUUCAUGUUUUUUUUGCUAUUUUUUAAUUUACUGUUCACCGACUACAUAUUUACAGUUUUUUGUUUCCCACGAGCUGCUCGAAUGUCGAAAUACCACAAAAAUUUGCACGGGUCUUGAGCACCAGAUUACCUUCGAUGCUAUAAAAUUUCAGAUUUUUUUGAUUUUCUUUUGCUAUUUUUUCAAUUUUACUAUUCAUCCCGGCCACCGCCCAAAGUGGCACGAGGGACGAAAACUAUCUGGUUUUGGUAGUUGAGGAACGAAAACUCUCCAGUUUAGAGUUAAGGGACGAUUUCUAAACUCUCGGAAGAGUUCGAGGACGAAAAAUAUACUUAUCCCAAUCGAUUUUAGCACUUUUUACACGACCAUGCUGUGCCCUUUUUACACGGCCAAGUAUUACCACUAGUAGACUUUCUACUACCGUGACGAACCAUUUUUGGCCAGAAAAAAAAAAGAAAAUAGUCUUUAUUCAUUCAAAUAUGGAAACAAAAGUACCGUGUACACACACACACACACACUUCAGCAGGUUUCUCACGAAGUCUGUAUUGCGUUUGGCCAGAGCGCCUAAACUCCAGCUUAACUUAGCAUAUUCUCGUUUUGCCAAACAAUGCUUGUUUAGUUAUUCAUAUUUACAGACAAACACUCCCAGGCCCUACGUAGUAUAGUUUUGAAUCAUUACGUUGGCAUGGUAGUGCCAAAUUAUCCGGUGAGAAAAAAUUCCGACAACGAAAAGUCUCAUAGCGAUUGGGUGAGUUGUGUAGGAUUAAGGACCUUUGGAAUCAAAAUUAGGACAGUCAUUGAUGCUCUCCACGCUUUCUUCUCCUUUUAUGAUUUUCAGCACAACAUUAGUAAUUUCUUCCCCAUACAGAUCCCAAUGUCUGUGAUAAAAGUGUGCACGGAAUCCAUCCGGGCCAGGGCCAGGGGCCUUUGUUGGAAACAUCUGGAACAGCGCACACUUCACCUCCUCAUUAGUAUAUGGUGCACAAAGAGCUACAUUCAUACCUUGGGUGACCCUGCACGGCACAUGCGAUAAAACAACCUCAACAUUGUCCACGCCCUCUGAUGUUUCUUCAUAAAAAGAGGAGACCAUGCCCUUGAGUUCUUCUGGAUCAUCAACUUGGACCCCAAGCGCAUUUGUGAGGGCUUUAAUCAUGUUUUUCUUCCGCCGGAGACUAACCCUCAUGUGAAAAAAAUUCAUGUUCUUAUCUCCAGCGGACAGCCACUCAAAUUAGCUCCUCACGGUGGUACUCCCUCCAUCCCAAAUUACUCGUCGCGAAAAUGAAUGUAUUUAGAACUAAAAUACAUCUAGAUACAUCCAUACAUGCGACAAGUAAUUCGGAAUGGAAGGAGUACCUCUGAACAAGCUACUCAUUCAACUUGAUUUCGAUAUGUGAGGGCCUCACCCUGUUUGUAUCAUUGCGUAAUGUUUCUAUUAGUCUACACUACUAUUAAACGAGAGAACUUGACGACAGAGGACGAAAACUCUGCCCGUAAAACAACCCACGCCCGCACGAGUCUACAGGUAAAUCCACGUCCUUUUCUCAAAAAAAAAAGGGUAAGAACCCACGCCCAAAUUACACGGAGAGUCAUACACGGAAAACAAAUGAGUCAUACACGGAAACAACUGAGCUAAAUUAGCGGGAAUCAAUCCAGGCUCGACGUCCAGAUUACAUGCCCCGUCGCUGCCCUGCGCAGCCGCUAAGGCACCCGACGACGGCCGCGACGUCGCUGCCCUGCGUAGCCGCCGAGGCACCCGACGACGGCCGUGGCGACGAGGUCACCGAGUCACUCGAUGACGGCCACGACGACGUGUUGUUCCCCAACACAGGUGCAGCCGCAUAGACGCCCUGCCACGGCCGCGACGAGGAGCUCCUCGCCGACAUAGGUGCAUGCUCUUCUCUGAUCUGAAGUUCGAAAGGCUUUUACAUGCCGCUGCCGCCAAGGCUUCGUUAGGCUAGAAGACGCCUCCACCCUGCUCCUUUCUCAACCUGUUCAUGUGAUCCAUCAAUUGUUUUGACUGAAUAAAAUUAUGAAGAACAAGGAAAGUGUAUGCACUGGUGAAUUAUGACAUGACAUAUGCUAACAAUCCCUGUUGUCCGUACCUGACCUAAACCUGACGUCGUUUCAUGAAUCCUUGUCAAAUGAGCAUUGUACUGACCUCACCUAAAUGCCUCAUCAAG
This 48529-nucleotide long non-coding RNA is filed under the name Triticum aestivum (bread wheat). RNAcentral describes it as "long non-coding RNA (TAES_LNC021691)". The stretch from base 47591 to 47705 matches the Rfam family "MIR1120/MIR1122 microRNA precursor family". The record is from RNAcentral. Lineage: Eukaryota; Viridiplantae; Streptophyta; Magnoliopsida; Poales; Poaceae.